RNAcentral lists this long non-coding RNA (76371 nucleotides) under Nicotiana tabacum (common tobacco). Its description in RNAcentral is "long non-coding RNA (NTAB_LNC000834)". Lineage: Eukaryota; Viridiplantae; Streptophyta; Magnoliopsida; Solanales; Solanaceae. The record is from RNAcentral.
AUUAAUAGCAUGCCUAAAAGCAUUUGUCUACGAAUAUAACAGGUGAUAAAUCCAAAUCCUCGUUACUCUUUUCAGCCAAUAAUACAUACUACAUUGCCAUGAUCAAUUCCAACUCGACGACUAGUAAGCAUGAAUACCAUACCCAAUCUUCCAAUUAUCCAAAUGAAUCACUUUUUUUCACAGCCCAAAACGAAAUAAACAAUGCAAAAGCAUCACCACCCUCUACACCGUCCUACUUUUUAGCCUCACAAGAACAUGAGUCAUAAAAGCCAACUUCAAUUAAACGCAUUCAAAAAGCAAUUAGACUCGAAAUUACAACAAGAACUCCAUUCAAUAUCAAAACACGCAAAUCAAAAUUAAUCAAGGUUGAGACAAGAAACAAAUUUAAAAUAUGAACUUGAACUUUCAAUGAAACACAACUUCAUUCACAAUACUGUUUCGAUGCUCAACUAACAGACACAGACUCGACAAAAAACAUAGCAGCAUCGUAACCUUGCCGGGAUCUCGAACGAAACUAAACAGACCCAACUCGACUGGAUUUGGGUAGAGAUUUCGAGCUGAUUUGCACUCUGGUCUGGUGUAAUUUCAAGGAGUUUGGAGCUGGACUUACUGCUGGGUUCGAACUCUGCUUCGCCGGAUUCAAUGGAGGGUCACUAAAGCUAUACGUUUUCCGGUGAGCUGGUGGUUCAGAUGUGUUUUUGAGAGGAGGGGUCGGCGGAAGGGCUGGAGCUCUUAGACCCGCUCCCUGCUUCUUCUCUUGGUGAAGGUGAAAUGCUUUUCCUAAUGGUCCGUGGUUGCUGUAGCUGUGAUUGACAAAGAAGAAGAAACAAUGGUGAUGCUGAAGGUUGAAGGAGACGAUAUCAGGAGUCAUUCUUGGUGUUGAACGACGCUCUAGUCUGUUGUGUCUAGGUCUUAGAGUCUUGUAUUGUUGGAAUGAAGAAGAAGAUCCAAAGGGGUUCUGAUUUGCUGAAAACGGCGCUACUUAUGUCUAGGUCCUAGGGGUCUAGAUCUAGGUUUUUAUUAAAGGAAGAAGGGUUUUUAGUGGGUUUAAAGGGUAUUGGGCUUUAAAUUAAGAAUUUGGGUUAGGUCUAUGUCUUGUUCGAUCUUAAUUUUGGUCUGAGAAAACUCCAAAAAUUAUUAUUCAAAACCAUAGCUAAAUUCUUUUAAUAUAAGAUAACUAUACUACAUGAUGCAAAAACAAAUUCUAAUUAAUUAAACUAAACUAUAUUAAAACAUAAAAUUAUUAUAUAUUUUUUGCAUUUUAAAAAUUAUAUAAAGAUAAAAAAAUAAGGUACUAUUUUUGUAUUUUUUUUUACUUUAUGAAAGGUACAUAAAAUAAAAUAUUUUUGUAAUUUUUAUUUUUGUCACGAAAUUAAAAGAGUCGAGAUUAGUUGAAAUAACUAUAUUAAACCUAAACUAAACAUUUACAUGCUCAAAUAUGAAAAAUCUUGGGGAGGGUAAAAAAUCACAUGUCUACAACUUCCCCUCUUUGACUGGAAAUACAAAGUAUUUUCAGACAAAGAAUGACUAGACAGAUUUUUUGACCCGGCCCUUAUUUGGAGAGACCGAAAUUAAGAAAAAGUGGAAUGUGACCGAGCCCUGGUAUAUGAGCUUCCUAUAUAUCAUUGGCUAUAAAGAAAUCAGGCCACGUGUAGUUCUGAAGUGAGUGAGAUGAUGGAUUAUACUGAGGUGGAGAGCCGAUCGAGGUGCCGUUCCAUCGAGGUUCCGGUUCGCAGUCCUGUUAUUACAUCAAAAAUAAAAAAAUAAAAAAUACUAACUAAGCCUGUCAACUAUGAGUUACAAGAUUCCUAUCUAUAAGUCUUCUAAAGGUUAAACAUGAGUCUUGAAUGGUUCUUCAUGUAGACUUUGGAUUUGAACCUUGACGCUUGCUAGUUGCAGGUGCUAGUUCAUUCUUCUUCUGCUUUUCGGAUCAAAAUCGGACAUACCAUGCUUGUAACUUAAGUCAUGUCUUGAGCAGCUCACAUCAUUCAUCAACUUCCGCAUUUGGAUUCACUUCUUGCCUUUUUUUUUUAAUUCUGGAUUGUGACUAACUUCCGUUGAUCAUCUCAGACUGUUGACUCGCAUUCUUGUCGCGAGCUUCUUUUGUUGCUGACUUGAAUUGCAUUCUGAAGUGAAUUCCCUUAUUUUCCAGGUGUGUGCCUGAUUGUCAAAUUUUGAACUGUUUUCCUUCAAAACUUGAACCAUUUUCCUUUGUUAUCCAGGUGGGCGCUUGAUUGCUGAACUUGAAUUGUCCUCCUUGGAAACUACUUUCCCUUGAAACUUGAACUGUCUUUCCUUGUUCACCAUGUGGGCGCCUGAUAGCUGAACUUGAACUGUCUUCCUUCAAAACUACUUUUCCUUGAAACUUGAACUCUCUUCCCUUGUUCUCCAGGUGGCCGCCUGAUUGCUGAACUUGAACUGUCUUCCUUCGGAACUGCUUUCCCUUGAAACUUGAACUGUCUUCCCUUGAAAAUUGAAUUGUCUUCCCUUAUUGUCCAGGUGGGCUCCUGAUUGCUGAAACUUUCUGUGUUCCUUCGGAACUGCUUUCCCUUGAAGCUUGAACUGUUUUCCCUUGAAACUUGAACUGUCUUCCCUUAUUCUCCAGGUGGGCGCCUGAUUGCUAAAACUUUUUGUGUUCCCUCGGAACUGCUUUCUUUUGAAACUUGAACUGUCUUCCCUUGUUUUCCAGGUGGACGCCUAAUUGCUGAAACUUUCUAUGUUCCCUUGUUUUCAAUGUGGGUUCCUGCAAUCAAAACAAACAAAACAAACAAAAUUUUCUGCCCCAAUUUGCACUAGGAAGAUUUGUGAGUUGUUAGCAAUAUUGUAAACCACAUAUACUAUUGAUGUAAUGAUGAGAGUAAACUAAAUACUAGACUAAGAUGUGCGUCACCUAUGUGUAAAACCAAAAAACUUUGACUAGCAAAUGUGUAUGCUAAAAAUGAAACCUGAAUGAACCAAACUAGGAAGUGCGUCUCUUUGGGGUGAAACUUGAAUGAACCAAACUAGGAAGUGCGUCUCCUGAAACAAAAUAUAACCUGACAGACCCAGACUAGGAAGUGCAUCUCCAAGAGGUGAAACUUCAAUAACUCAGACUAGGAAGUGUAUCUCCUUAGGGUGAAAUCUCAAUUUAGGAAGUGCAUCUCCUAAAACAAAAAUAUAACCUGAACUACCCAGACUAGGAAGUGCAUCUCCUACGAAUGAACUCUCAAUUUAGGAAGUGUGUCUUCUAUGGGUGAAAUUUCAAUGACUCAAACUAGGAAGUGCGUCUCCGAGGAAUGAACUUAAAUGAACCAGUUAGGAUGUGCGUCUCCUAGUGGUAAAAUCUCAAUUUAGGAAGUGAGUCUCCUAAAACAAAAAUAUAACCUGAAAGACCCAAACUAGGAAGUGCGUCUCCUAGGGGUGAAACAUUAAUGACUCAAACAAGGAUGUGCGUCUCCUAAGAAUGAACUGAAAUAAACCAAACUAGGAAGUGCGUCUCCUAGUGGCAAAAUCUCAAUUUAUGAAGUGUGUCUCCUAAAAGUAUAUCCUGAAAGACCCGAACUAGGAAGUGCGUCUCCUAGGGGUGAAACAUCAAUUUAGCAAGUGUGUCUCCUAAAACAAAAUAUAACAUGAAAGACCCAGACUAGGAGGUGCGUCUCCUAGGGGUGAAACUUUAAUAACUCAAACUAGGAAGUGUUUCUCCUAGGAAUGAAUUUAAACGACCAAAACUAGGAAGUGCGUCUCUUAACAAGUAUAAUCUGAAAGACCCCUACUAGGAAGUGCGUCUCCUGACGGGUAACACUUUAAUGACUCCAACAAGGACGUGCGUCUACUAGGGAUGAAUUUAAAUGACCAAGACUAGGAAGUGAGUCUCCUAGGGGUGGAAUCUCGAUUUACGAAGUGCGUCUCCUAGAGCAAAAUAUAACUUGAAAGACUUAGACUAGGAAGUGCGUCUCCUAGGGGUAAAACCAUUAGUGACUCAAACCCAUAUGAUCCAAACUAGGAAGUGCAUCUCCUAAGGGUAAAAUCUCAAUUUAGGAAGUGUGUCUACUACAACAAAAUAUAACUUGAAAACCCAGACUAGGAAGUGUUUCUCCUAGGGGUGAUGUGUGAUCUUAUCAAUAGCCUUUGCAUAAGCGGAAUUGGGGCAUUACACCUGAAAAUUUCAAGCUUCCAAGCUUUGAUAUGAACAUCGCUUCCGUCUUUGUUUCAGACAAAGAAAACUUGUGAGUUUAAACAUGGUGAUUGGUUUUUGGCCUUGACUUUAAGGGCGAUUGCUCUUUCACUUGCCAUGAUAACUUUGAUUUCACCUUGAAAGACAUUGCUUGCUUAUUGACUAGACACUUUCUCUGUCACCCUUAUCACAGAAAAUACCUCUGAUCCGUUCAAACCUAACAUCUUCUAUCUAUUGCAUUUUGCUCAUGAAUCGACAUUUACUGAACCUUUGUAUUUCACAUGAAUCCCAAAACACGUUGAUUUUUACCAACUCAGUGCGCUUGCUGUUCUUUCCUGACGUAGGCCACUGGCCUUGGCCUUGAGGUCUAUUGCUCCUUCGCUUGCCAUGAUAACUUUAAUUUCCACUUGGAAAAUCUUGCUUGUUAUUGGUUGACCACUUUCUCUGCCAAACUUAUCACAGAAAAUACCUUUGAUCUGUUCAAACUCAAUACCAUCUACCCAUUGCAUUUUGCUCAUGAAUUGACUUUUACUAAACCUUUGAAUUUCACAUGAAUCCCAAAGCAUACCGAUUUUUAUCCGUUUAGUGUGUAUACUGCUCUUUCCUGACUUAUGUCGCUUUGAUAUGCUAACCAGACUCUGCCUUGUGUAAUUGGAAAGCUGGUAGCAGAUUUUGAAGUUAUUUCUCACUUGUUUUGACCAAAUAUACUCAAGAAGAGGAAUCAAACAAGACAAAAUGAACAGAGUAAAGGACAAUGGAAAGAGAUGAUUCCUAAUAAGAAAACUACAAAGUAGAAACUUAUCAGACGUGGAUACCAACUCUAAUGACCAUGACAUCCACCUUUGGAUUCAGUGGCAUAAUCUGUCAAGUAAAUCUAAUACUCAACUCUUGUUGUACCUCUUUUCCAUGAAACUGGGCUUCAAUGCUCCGAUUAUCCCAUCUGAUUGACGAUACUUAUUCAACUUGUAGUGACCAAAGGAUUUUCACCAUCAAGCCUCUCUCAUUUUGUUCUUUCUCUCAACUUUUCGUUGCCUUAUGGUGUCUGUGAAGGUUUUCACCGAUAAGACACUCUCAUUUUUGUUUUCCUUGUGUAGCACAGAGUGUUACUCCUGAUGCAAAUCAUACCUCUAUCUUGCUCGACUUGGUACUCUCCAAUAUUGAUCGAAAGGUCUUUCUUUGGACCGUAAUAUAGGCUUUGGAUGGGGUUAAAAAAGAAAGGAUAAAAGCUCAAAACAACUUGAAUGGAAUCACAAUUACAACUUUUAGAAUCAGAUCUUUUACAUAACCACAACUUCUGCCCCAGUUUCUUUGCCUGGAGGCUUUUGCAUUUUUUUUUUGACGAGACCAAACCAUGAGGCUGCCUACGUAUCCUUAAAAGGAAUCAGGUCGAACGUAGUUCAUGAAAUAGGAAUUGCUUUAUUUUUGUACUUUUCUCUCUCUUUUUCUUUUCUCUUUUUUUUCUUUUGUCUUUUUUUUCUUUUCUUUCCUUUUCUUUACUCUUUUCCCAUUUUCUUUCUCUUUUCCUCUUUUCUCUCUUUUUUUAUUCUAUAUCCGUAUUUUUAAACUCUGAUCUGAUUCCAAUAGAGAGGUAUGAAAGAAAAUAAAUAAGGCUUAAGGGGAUAACAAAGGAUAAAGAGUUUAGAUAGCAGAAUAAAAUGCCUUCGUCAUUCGGAUCUUCAAAGCAUGACAAAUACAAAAAACACAACUAAAUAAACAAAGAAAUCAUACAUAGUAUCUUUUCACUGCAUCAGAAUUGAUAACCAUAUCCACAGAUUUGCCUUCUACAUCUGUUAAAUACAAAGCACCAUUGGACAACACUCUCGUUAACACGAACGACCCCUACAAAUUUGGGGAAAACUUGCCUUUAGCUUCAACCUGAUGCGGCAGGAUGCAUUUCAAUAGUGUUUCUUUAUGUUCUAUCUGCCCCAUUUUCACACAAUUCGGGCUUGAAUUGAACUCAAAAUGCCUUUACUUAUUUCCCUCCAAUGUCCCUACCAUCUUCAAAAUUAUUUCAUUGCUUCAUGAUUAGACUAACUUUUAAGACCAGUCUAAGAAUUAUGCGUACAUGCCAUGUCACUAGAGUCAACUUGAAAAGAACUAUCAAAGGAAAAGAGGACUAAACAAAAAUUACUAGAAAUAACAAAAAAUAGAAAAUUGCAUUAGACAAACGGUAAAAGGGUUUGAACAACAAAACACACUGGGGUUACAACCCUGGAACAAAUAUAGAUAAUACUAAAUGAGUUACUAACACUAAAGAAACUAGACAAAAUAAAGGAUAGAAGGGUUUGAGUCACAAGACAAUAUCCGGAGGACAACCCUGAAAUAACUCGGACAACAGAAAUGACAACAAAAUAAACUACCAAGACUCCUCCCUGCUUGCCAAGAGAUGGAGCGUCUUUCCAAUUACCAAGCACGUCAUCUUAGCCAUGGGAUUCCACAUCAAUAUUGCCAAGACCAUUAAAACCUUCAUAUCAUUAACUUUAGUCAGCAGGUUCCCAAGAAGAUUCGCAUACUCCCUGUCACUGUCCUUGACCACAAUUACCCCUUCUUGAAUCAUUUUUUCUAUUUCUUUUUUCAAAGCACGACAAUCUUCAAUGAUAUGCCCUUGGACGUUAAAGUGGUACAUGCAUCGCACAGUAGGAUCAAAACCUUUUGCAUAUGGGUUGGGAGUAUAGCCGAGGAGCGGCUCAAUCAGGCCAGAAUGCUUUAACUUUUCAAACAAGAUUGCGUCGGACUCCCCGAUUGGCAUGAAACUAGUUCUUUGCCUUUAUUCCCCUCCCUGCCCCUGUUUUCUAGGGUUGUUGGGUGCUCAAAAAUGUUGUGAAGUGACCUGAUGGUUGGACAGAUGACCGGACAUUGUUCGGAGGAUAAUACAAAAGUGGAUUAUGUGGAGCUCGGGGAUAGGUUUGGUAUUGGAAUUGAGGCUGGGUAUAUUGGUGAUGCGAACCAUUUGGACCAUCUCCUAAUCCUGAGACAACCAUGGCAACAUCAUCAUGUUCCUUCUUACCCAACAAGCUUCCUGUGUCGUUCUGUAUUGCUUGUGUUGUGGCUUUUAAAUCAGAAUAACUCAUGAUCUUGCUCGUCAUCAGCCCAUCUUCUACCAUUUUUCCCAUUUUUACCACAUCAUUAAAAGGCCUACCCACAACCAAGAUCAAAUUCCCAAAGUAAGUUGGCUCUUGAGCUUGAAGAAAGUACUCGACCAUCUCUUUUUCUUCCAUCGGGGGAUUGACUUUGGCAGCUUGCUCUCUCCAUCUGAGCCCGCAUUCCCUAAAGCUUUCAUUAGGCUUAUUUUUCAUAUUGGUGAGGGACAUACGACCAGGGACGAUCUCUAUAUUAUACUGGAAGUGCCGAGAAAAGGCAUGAGCCAUAUCGUCCCAUGUGUACCACCUGUUAGCGUCUUGGCGGGUGUACCACUCCAGAGCUGCCCCACUCAGACUCUGACUGAAAUACGCCAUCAAUAGUUUGCCCUCCCUACUAGCGCCUCUCAUAUUACUACAAUAACCUCUCAAAUGGGCCACAGGAUCUCCGUGCCCGUCAUAUAAAUCAAACUUUGGCAUCUUAAACCCAACAGGCAGUUGGACGUCAGGAAACAAGCACAAGUCUUUGUAAGCCAUGCUCAUCUGGCACCCUAUCCCUUACAUGUUUCUUAAAGACUACUCUAAGAUUUUUAUCUUCCUAGAUAUCUCAUCUUGCUCCACUGUCUUAGCAGGCUUUUCAGUUUCACCGGGAGGCUCAAAAUGAGGAGUGUGAGAAUAUGGAUCCGAGACUUUGAAAGUUUGUUCUGGAGCAUAGUGUUGGGCAUCGGGGAUUUUGAGCACAGUCUCGUUAGAGGAUCAAGGAAAAGUAGCUGGAGGAGGAGCUACAAGAGCAUGAGUGGACAAAGGAGGGGGAUAUGCGGUGGUUUUGGCGGGUAGAGUAUGAAAAGGUUGUGGGAAGAUAUCAGCAUCAGUGGGAAUCUGUAUUUGUAAUAGUGGUGGGAUAGUUGCAGGGAUUUUAGUGUAGUUAGUGGGGAAUGAACGUGGAGGAUGCCCCCUGAUCCAAGACUGAUACAUAUCUUCCAUAUGCUGUUUCAACAUUUUGACCUCCCCUUUCAAUUUAGACUCCGACUCCACAAACUCCCUCGACGGGUCAACAACUCUUGUGUCUAGGUCUUUGCUAGUCAUGGCUACCUUGCUCUUUGACCUUGUGUUGUAUGGAAGAGUUAUCAGUUUAAUAACCACAAAUCAACCACCCUUCUACUAUAAUGAGGAUAACAAAGAGGAACAAAAUGAAGUCAUCAUGUUAGCGUUAGGGCAUUUAACAGCUAAAAAUACCACAUUACGUGCAAUGCACCUAGCAACAAUUAACGGUUCUAGAAUGACUUCGAGGACCACAAGGUCACUUGGCAUCAUCCCAAUUUUGUUCAUUUCAAUCUUCUCUUUUCUUUCUUUUCUAGUACUUCUUGGCUUGCUCAUUUUCCUUCCCUUUUUUUCUUCUAAGUAUCACUUCUUUUUUUCUCUCACUUCUCACAUCCCAAAAUUUCACCUCUCUUUUUCUCUUUUUUCUUUUAAGAAUUUUUUAUGUUUCCCUUUUUUUUCUUUUUCUUUUAAAUAAAUAAAUAAAUGAUUCGAUCGAACCCUAUGUAGAUUGCCUACGUAUCAUGUAGUUCGGGAAGAUCGAAAAUAAAGCAAACAAACUAACGUUCCCUUUUUCUUUUUCUUUUUUUCUUCUUUUUUACCUUAAUGAAUAUACUGAUGAGAAAAGAGAAAUAAAAGGAGCAAUUCCUUUUUUUUUUUGAAUUUUCUAGACUUAAUGUUCUAUAGCCUAUUCCAAACUCAAGCUUAACGAGCAUAUAUUUGUUUUUCCUUAAUUUAUUUUUUUGAAACAGAUACUCUAUGAGAAAUUAUUAAGGAAAAUAACCUAGACGAGAAAAAUAUUUUGAUUCUUCUUUUUUUUAGGAAGGAAAUCUAAAGGAUGAACCAAAGAAAAAUAUUUUGAAUUUUUGUUUGAUAUCCUGAAAGAAAGAUUUCGAACUAAGAAAUGAAAAAGAUAAAAAAUAUUUUUGGAUUUCAGUUUUGAUUACCUAAGGGAGAAACUUUAAAGAUAAACCAAAGAUAAAGUAUGUUAUUUUUUUUCCUUCUAUGUACAAUGUCCUGAAGUUAUAGUAAAAAUAAAAAGUUUUUUUUUCUAUUCAUUUUUCAUUAAUUUCCCAAAGUAGAACCUCAAAAGAAAAUCUUUUUGAUUUUUGGAAUUAAUAUCUUAAAGAAAACUUUUAAAGUGGUACUACAAGGAAAUUCUUUUUUUUUUAAAUUUUUAGUCUUAAUAUACUAAAAGAGAUAUAAAAAUAAUUUUUGUUUUAAGUUCUAGAUAUUAAUUGCCUAAAGGAAAAACUGCCUUAAUUGAAUUUUUUUAAUUCCUAGAAUUAGUAUUCUAAAGAAAACUUCUAAAAGAAAUAUAAAAAUGCAAAAUUUCUUUUUUUUAUCUUUUUUUGUUUGGAUUUUGAUUGUAACACAUUUCCAAAUACCAAAUAAGAAAUACAAUAACAAAAGACUCGGCAAACUUAACUAGACUAUGACAAACUCUAAUAUCACCUAAAAGACUCGACAUUACUGUACAAAACUAGAAGGUAAAAUAUGACAUAAUAGAAAAACAGACUCAAAACAUAUUAAAUAACAAAAAUCUCCUUAAGCAACUCCUGAAUGAGAGAUCCUGACUGGAUGGUCCUGGGGCGUCUGUCAUGCUCAAACUCCGAUAAGUAAACCCACACUUGUAUGAGAAAAUUAAGAUCAAAUAAAGUUAAAGGCCUAGAACACUAUAUGAGACAAUAACACUCCCUAUUGAACGCAUGCAAGAUAUAAUUGAGACUAUUUUUGCAAAAUGGCUUAUGUGGCCAAAAGGUAGCUAGAAGUGCAAAAUUUGGUUAAGACCCUGCAAAGCCAUGAACCUAAGAUUCACUAGGAAGACCGGACCCUAUGUGAGUUGCCUACGUAUCACGCCCCGAAAGGCGAGAAUCAGGUAUGUGUAGUUCGAGAAGAUCGGAUACAUGCGAGAAUUAAAAAAAAUAACCAAUUUAGAGAAAAUAUAUUUUGUCUUUUUUGAAAAAUGAUGAAACAUGUAAACUCUUUUUGGAUUUUCUUUCCCCCUAUUUUUUUUUAUUUUCGAAAAAUGAUGAAAAAGUACAAAAUCUUUUUUUUUUGAAUUUUCAUGUUUUUUUUCCUUAACAAAAUGUGACUGAGAACAUAAUUGAGCCCUACUUGCUUUAUUUUUCACACAUUACCCUCUCUUUUUUUCUUUUUCAUUUGCCCUCAACUAUCAUUGGUCCGCCAAAUGACCCUUUUACCUUUGAAGAAAUGCAACAUGUAGCACGUAUGAUGCAUCAAGAUGGUCUGUUAUUUUGGGUACACCUGUCCUAGACGGACUUAACCCCUGUGUUGAGUCCCCAAAGUCAAAUGCACAUGAUGCAAACAAACGUUCCUACUAGGGAUCCUGCAUGAGACUGUUUUUUUAGGUUUAAAACCUGGGGUUGUGCUCUAGACCUGGCUUACAUGAGCAAACAAAUUGAGCCGAAAAGGGGGCAACGUACCGGGAGCUCUGAAGCCUACCCGGCCUUGUUGCUGGCCUAGCCGCAUUCUAUUUGGUAUAACUUCUACAGAAAAAGUGGGCCACGCAAACGUGAGCACCAUAUUCAGAAGACUCAGAGAGGUGGCAUAAGAAGACAUUUAUAUACAAUUCAAAUAAUAUCAAAACGGUAAACAUACAUCAAUUAGCACAAAGGUUCACAAAAUACAGUAAUAUUAACAAUAAAAAAGCCAAGUAAAAUCAUAUUAACAAGCUCGAAUUCUGAACCCUGAACCAGAAGAUCUGGGUUCUUGUCCCCAGCAGAGUCUCCAAAGCUGUCACACCUCCUUUUUCCUACCCCCGGAACUGGUAUAAGGGAGUUUUUUCUAAUUUAAGUGACAAUCGAAACAGGAUUAUUUAUUUAAAACUUGGAGUCGCCACUUGGGAUAUUUUAUGGUGUCCCAAGUCACCGGUUUAAAAUCUCGAUUCGAGGACUCUAUUUACGGUUUGCGAACAUAGAAAUUCGGGUAAGAAAUUCUGUUAACUCGGGAGAAGGUGUUAGGUAUUUCCGAGUUCCGUGGUUCUAGCACGAUCGCUUUGAUCAUACUUGGCUUAUUUAAUUGUCUAAUUACUCAUUUUAGAACCUAUGUGCAUUUGUCUCCUUUAAUUAAGAAAUUAUCUUGAAACGGGUCACAUGUACGUGUACCCAUUUGUUUGGCGCGUCAAAAAUCAUGUCACACGAACGUGUCCACAAUUAAUAAUGCUUUAUUAUUAUUAAGAAAGUUUGGCCGAUAUUGCUUGAAUGCAUACUCUGGUUUUGGUUUUAGAAUCAUAAUUAUGUCACACGAACGUGUACGCAAUUACGAUGGUAUUUAGACGUGCCUAAAGCAAACUACGAACAUUUGUCAUUUUUAUAUCUAGGUUAUGGAAUUAAUACGCGGUCCAUGUAUGAUUAAAUCGUGGAUGGCACUCCUCGGACUAUAUAAACUAAAUUUAAUUUAGAGGCCUAUUAAAAAUAAUUUAUUAUUAAGAAAAGUUUGAUCGAAGUUGCACGAAUGCAUACUCUGAUUUAUUUUUGAAAAUCAUAACCAUGUCACGCGGACGUGUACACAAUCACGAUAGGUAUAUUAAGAGCAUGCCUAAAAGAAUUUUUCUACGUAUAUAAUAGGUGAUAAAUCCAAAUCCUCGUUACUAUGUUCAGCCUAUAAUGCAUACCAAAUUGCCAUAAUCAAUUCCAACUCGACAGCCAGUAAGCAUGAAUACCAUACCAUUCUUCAAUUAUCCAAAUGAAUCACUUUCUUCAUAGCCCAAAACGAAACAAAAAUGCAAAAGCAUCACGACCCUCUGCACACUCCUACUUUUUAUCCUCACAAGAAGAUGAAUCAUAAAAGUUAACUUCAAUUAAAUGCGUUCAAAAAACAAUUAGACUCGAAAUUACAACAAGAACUCCAUUCGAUAUCAAAAUACACAAAUCAAAAUUAAUCAAGGUUGAGACAAGAAACGAAUUUAAAAUAUGAACCUGAACUUUCGAUGAAACACAACUUCAUUCACAAUACUAUUUUGACGCUCGACUAACAAACACAGACUCAAACAGAAGACGUAACAAUGCCGGAACCUUUCCGAAAACUCGAACGGAACUUAACAGACCUAACUCGGCUGGAUUUGGGUGGAGAUUUCGAGCUGAUUUGCACAUUGGUCUGGUGUAAUUUCAGGGAGUUUAGAGCUGGACUUACUGUUGGGUUCGAACUCUGCUUCACCAGAUUCAAUGGAGGCUCACUGAAGCUACACGUUUUCAAGCGAGCUAGUGGUUUUGCUGUGUUUUGGAGAGGAGGGGUCGUCAGAAGGGCUGGAGCUCUUAGGUCAGUUCUCUGCUCCUUCUCUUGGUAAAGGUGAAAUGCUUUUCCUAAGGGUCCAUUGCUGCUGUAGCUGUGAUAGACGAAGAAGAAGAAACAAUGGCGAUGCUGAAGGUUUAAGGAGACAAUAUCAAGAGUCGCUCUUGGUGUUGAACGACGCUCUAGUCUGUUUUGUCUAGGUCUUAGAGUCUUGUAUUGUUGGAAUGAAGAAGGAGAUCCAAAAAGGUUCUGAUUUGCAGAAAACGGCGCUGCUUAGGUCUAGGUCCUAGGGGUCUAGAUCUAGGUUUUUAUUAAAUGAAGAAGGAUUUUUAGUGGGUUUAAAGGGUAUUGGGCUUUAAAUUAAGAAUUUGGGUUGGAUCUAUGUCUUGUUCGGUCUUAAUUUUGGGCUAAGAAAACUCCAAAAAUUAUUAUUCAAAAUCAUAGCUAAAUUCCUUUAAUAUGAGAUAACUAUACUACAUGAUGCAAAAACAAAUUCUAAUUAAUUAAACUAAACUAUAUUAAAACAUGAAACUAUUAUAUAUUUUUUGUAUUUUCAAAAUUAUAUAAAGAUAUAAAAUAAGGUACUAUUUUGUAUUUUUUUACUUUAUGAAAGGUACAUAAAAUAAAAUAUUUUUGUGACGAAAUAAAUUAAAAGAGUCAAGAUUAGUUGAAAUCACUGUAUUAAACCUAAACUAAACAUUUACAUGCUAAAAUAUGAAAAAUCUCGGGGAGGGUCAAAAUCAUAUGUCUACAUCGGCAGCUACCUCAAAGAUUCCAACGAUCAGCUGUGCGAAAUAUUAACACUCGCCAUGUCCAGAAACAUAUGGAUAUGCACAUGAAGUGCAGGAUGUUGCGUGAGUACAACCAACUAAGUAAAUAACAAGACUAAAUAAAGAACUGAAGAUAGUGAGGAGCUUCACAAUUAUAGUUCAAUUUUAGUAGUCUCAACAAGAAAGUAGACAUGCUUUGAAAUCUAGCAAUUUAAGUCAAAUCAGUUUAUAUAUGCCAAGUUCAAGUAAAAACUAAGUAAAAUAUCUCUCAGAAGUUUUCAAAACAAUGAUAUAUGGAAUCUAUGUGCAACAAUAAUGAAAUCAUAUAGAACCUCUAAGAGCAACAAACACUCAGCAUUCGGCACUCAGCACUAGAACUCAGUACAUACCUGGUCACUAGGGGUGUGUACAGACUCCGGAGGGGCUCCUUUAGUCCAAGCGCUAUAUCAAGCCAAUCAUGGCAUAAAUCAACGAAACAUGUUGUGGCGUGCAUCCCAAUCCCAUAACGUCCAUACAAUCAGGCCCUCGGCCUCACUCAGUCAUCAAUCUCUCUAGUCUCUCGGGCUUCUGGAAAUCAUGAAAAUCAUCCAAAACAACAAUGAUAUGAUGUAGCAACAAGUAAAAAACAGAGACUGAGAUAUAAUAUGCGAGUAAAAAAAUUGAGACUAUGUACAAAAAGCAUUUAGCAGGUAAUUCAACAUGUAACACGACCUCUGUGGAUCCCAACAGUACCAACACAUAACCUAAACAUGAUUUCUAACAAGAUUUACAGUCAAAUUUCUAUAACACAAGGAGAGCGUAUAGAUAACAACAAGUUAUUUAACUUUACAAUUCCAUAGAAUGGACCAAGUCACAAUUCCUACGGUGCAUGCCCACACGCCCGUCACCUAGCAUUUGCUUCACCUCCAAACCCAUCACAUAACACAUAAUCCGGGGAUUCAUACCCUCGGAACCAGAUUUAGAACUGUUACUUACCUCAAUCCGAGCAAAAACUCUACUCCAAUAUGCCCUUGCCUCGCAAAUUGGCCUCCAAAUGUCCCGAAUCUAGCCACAAGCAGCACAAUUCAAUCAAUACAGGCUAAAGGAAUCAAUUCCACAAGAAAAUACAAAAUUAUUAAUCGAAAGUAACAAAAUCAGCUUCAAGCAAGCCCCCGCGCCCACGUAUCGAAAUCCACCAAAAGUAACAAAACCCUAAAGACCAUUCAAUCACGAGUCUAGUCAUACCAAAUUCAUCAAAAUCCGACACCAACUCGCCCCUCAAAUGCCUAAAAUCAAAUGUCACAAUCCCUAGCCUCAAACCCCCAAAUUACACCUAAAAACACCAACUAGGUGGGAAAAUCAAUGGGGAAACAUAAUUAUUGAAGAAAUUUAAACACAAGUGAUUUACCUCAAGAAUCCCUUUGAAAUAACUCUAAAAAAUCGACCAAUUCCGAGAUCAAAAUGUUAAAAUGAAACCAAAAUCACGAACCAUAGCAUUUAUAUGUUUUGUGUAGUCAAACCACACAUGCGGUCCCAAAUUUCGCUUAUUCGGUCCCUCUUUUGCGGUGAAAGCUCCGCACCUGUGGAAGACACAUAAAUCACCAGGGCUCGCACCUGCGCUCCAGGUCUCGCACCUACGGAGGCGCUUCUAUAGCCUAUGAUCCUCUUAUGGCGGAACAACCUACACCCCUCAACUCCUUUAUACUUCGCUUCUACGCUCUCAUCACCGCAUCUGAGGCCUCGCGGGUGUGGAAAGAACCUCGCACCUAUGACCUCAUCCAUUUCCUCCUUGCCCUCUUUUGCGGCUCUCUUCACGCUUCUACGGGCUCGCACCUGCGGUGCCUACUCCACAGGUGCAAUUACCCAGCACUCCUCAAACUUCAGCAGCCCUUCAACUUCAAACCUUGAUCCAUUAACCACUUGAAAUCAACCCAAGGCCCCUGGGACCUCAACCAAACAUACCAACAAGUCUUAAAACAUCAUACGAAUUUGGUCGCACCCUCAAACAACCUCAACCAACAUCAAAAACAUGAAUCACACAUAGACUCAAGACUAAUGAACUUUGAAAUUUCAAAAUUCUACAAACGAUGCCGAAAGAUAUCAAAUCACGUCCGAUUGACCUCAAACUUUUUACACAAGUCACAAAUGACACCACAAACCUACUCUAAUUUCCGAAAUCCAAAUCCGACCCCGUUAUCAAAGAGUCCACUCCCUGUCAAACUUCUCAAAAAUUCAACUUUCGCCAUUUCAAGACUAAUUCCACUACGGACCUCCAAAUACAAUCUGAACAUACUCCAAUGUCCAAAAUCACCCAACAGAGCUAUUGGAACCAUCAAACUUUAAAUUUGGGGUUGUUUACACAUAAGACAACAUUUGGUCAACUUUUCCAACUUAAGCUUUCUAUUAUGAGACUAAGUGUGUCAUAUAACAUCUAUAAAGCACAUAAGGAACACAAAAUGGGGGAACGAUGUCACAAAUCUUGAAACGACCGGUCGGGUCAUUACAUCCUGUAACUACCCGACCGGUCGUUUUGAGCUUUUGCACUUUGCUCGCUAGUUCUCGAGCAUGACUUGCCCUAUGUGAUGUAUUAUGACUUAUGUAAAUCGUUGGUUUUGGUUUUUAGGGUAAUUGGAAUGAAUUUGGAUGAACAGUUCUCAUUUGAAGCUUGAAGCUUGAAAGGUUUGACCAAGAUUUGACUUGUUGGUAUAUGAUCUCGGAUCAGAAUUUUUAUGAUUUGGUUAGCUCCAUUAGGUGAUUUGGGACUUAGGAGAUUGAUCAAAAUGCAUUUUGGAAGUCUGUGGAAGGUUUACGCUAGAACUGGCGAAAUUAAGAUUUCGACAUUUUCUGGUUAAUAGGUGAGAUUUUGAUAUAGGGAUCGGAACGGAAUUCCGGAAGUUGCAAUAGCUUCGUUAUGUCAUUUUUGACGUUUGUGCAACAUUUCAGGUCAUUCGGAUGUGGUUUGGUUGGGUUUUAGAUCAAAAGCGUAAUUCGGAAGAUUUUGGAUUUCUUAGGCUUGAAUUCUAUGCGAAUUUGGUGGUUUAAUGUUGUUUUGAGUGUUCCGAAGGUUGGAACAAGUUUGAAUGCGAUUAUGGGAUAUGUUGACAUGUUUUGUUGAGGUCCAUAGGGUCUCGGGUGAGUUUCAGAUGGUCUAUCGGACUAUUUCAUGUUUUGUGAAAUUGCAGAAAACCAGCUGAAGUGUUGCAGACAAUUUGUUCUUUGCGUUUGCGGUCAGGGAUCUGCGUUCACGAAGGGUAUUCUUCUGAGGCGCGAGUUUUUGCCUUCUCAUUCGCAUUUCGAGUGUCGCGUUCGCAAUGUUGUGACGUUUGAUUCUCCGCAUUCGCGAGGCCUGUGUCGCGUUCACAUAGAGUAAGUAGAAACAUAUGGGGUCCCAACCUUUUUGUGCUUAGCUUUCGCGUAAAGAGGUCGCGUUCGCGAUGGUUUGGAAUGCGGAUUCUUCGCAUUCACGAGCUGUAGGUCGCGUUCUCAUAAGGGAAUUUUUGGUCAGCGGAUUUUUUGUACUUCGCGAACGCGAGGUUUGACCGCAUUUGCGAAGAAGGAUUUUUAUAUCUGGGCAGAAUGUUUUAAAUAGGCUAUUCCGCUAUUUUGAGGCUAAGAACCUCCAUUGUUGGGUGAUUUUAAAGCUUGGGAGAGCUAAUUGAAGAUAGAAUUGAAGAAGAUUUCUUGGAGGUAAGAUUUUUGAACUCAAAACUCAAUUCUUGUGUGAAUUCCACCUAAUUAAACAUGGAAUUAAGCCUAAAAUUAAGGAAUUAGGGCUUGAAUUUGGAGAGUGUAAAUUUGGGGUUUGAGGGGCCAUUUGAGGUCCGAUUUUAAUGUUCUUGGUAUGUAUUGACUCGUAUGAGGAGGAGGAUUCCAUUGAUGUUAAUUUCGUCAGAUUCCGAGACGUGGGGCCGAGGACCGGGUUUGAGCAAUUUCGAGAUUUUUGAUGUAAAUUGGAUAUUUUCGAGUGGGCUUCAUUCCCUUCGCAUAUUUAAAUGAUUAUAUACUGAUUGUGGCUAGAUUUGGGCAUCCGGAGGUCGAUUCAUUCGGGAAAUGCAUCGCAGGCUAGAGUUUGGACCGGAUCGAGGUGAGUAAUGAUUGUAAAUGAUGUUCUAAGGAUUUGAAACCCUGGAUUGCACAUCGUAGUGCUAUGUUGAGGUGAGACACACACUUGAUGACGAGUGUGGGGUUGUGUACUAUUGGGUAUUUUGACUUGGUCCAUCCCGGUUGAUGAUUUUACCACGUAUUUGACUAUAAACUAUUUGCUAUCAUCAUUAUUUGGGCUGAAUUCCAUAUUUGGGCUUCGUGCCAACUAUUUGAACCCUUCGGGGAUUUUCAUUGCUACUUCCUCACUGUUUUGACUUCAUACUUGAACUCAGUCAUGUUAUUUUCCACUGUUUUCCAAACACAACCAUGUUUACUCUGUUUUAACACUUUAAAUGAUAUUUUAAAUCAUAUUUUGGGCUGAGCAUCAUAUUUUACUGUUUUCCGAGUAACUUAUAUGAUUUUUGACAGAGUAAGGCUAAGGGCCUGUGUUGUGAUGAUACUUUUGGGUCGGGCUACACGCCGCAGCGGAGAUAAAUUGAUUUGAUUAUGAGGCCGAGGGCCUGAGAUAUGUAUGCCACGAGGUGGCUUGUUGAUAUUGAUAUGAGGUCGAGAGCCUAUUUAUGAUGCCACGAGGUGGCUUGAUAUUGCGCUUGGGCCGUAAGGAGCCCUUCCCAGAGUCUGCACACCCCUAAUGAGCGCGGGUGCCCAUUAAGAUGUGAGAUAUAGUCCGAGGGGCUGAUAUUGUUCUAUGUGAUAGCCCAUAGGGGCUGGUAUUGUUCCAUGUGAUUGUGACCGGGGGGCUGGUACUGUUCUGAGAUAUUGCCCGAGGGGAAAAUUGUUGACAGUGUUCCCGAGGGGCGAAUAUUAUGUGCUUAUCCUUCUUAUUUGCUUGUCAUUACCUGUUUAAUUGUGUAUUUGUGCCUGAGGGGUGAAUUUUCUGUGCUGAUCUGCACUAAUUGUUUGUCUUUCAUUUGCGUAACUGUUGAAAAGUCAUUUUCAAAGAAGUUUAAGCUGAGCUAAGAUAUUUUAAGAGAUUUUUCAGCUUCAUUGUUCUCUUACUGGUUUUUGUACUUCUUCUAUACAACAUGUUGAUGCACUUUUCAUGAUUUCUUACCAUUCAGACUUUAGUUAUGAAUAUUACUCACUAAGUUGGAGUACUCAGUUUAAUCCCUGCACCUUGUGUGCAUAUUCAGGUAUUUCUGAACUCGGUAGUGGGUAUUGGUUGAUCGGAGGCAGAGUCAUCAGAGUCUAGCAAGGUAGCUGCCAGCGUUCGCAGCACUGCUUUUCUCCCUCUUGAUGUCCUUGGACUGUAUUUAGCCUGUUUCAGAACUUAGUUGUAUAUUAGACCUUAGUAGUUGCUCGUGACUUGUGACACCCCAAUGUUGGGCUGUGUUUGGGUUGUAUUUCGCACAUUAUAAAAUCUUUUUCUUAGUCUUUGGCUUAUUUGCUCAUGAUUAGACUUUUUAUAGAUGUUUAACUGUUUUAAAAAUUGAAUUGGGACUAGUUGACUGCCUUGUCUUCACGAUAGGCACCAUCACGGCUGGGUCCGGGUAUAGGGUCAUGACAAGUUGGUAUCAGAGCCUAGGUUACAUAGGUCUCACGAGUCAUGAGCAGGUUUAGUAGAGUCUCGCAGAUCGGUACGGAGACGUUUGUAUUUAUCCUCGAGAGACUGCAGAACCUUUAGGAAAAACUUCACAUUCUUGAAUUCUCAUUUUGCGUCCUUGAUUCAGCUUGAGAUGUAACUCUUUAAAUUCUUUCCACGCAUUCGUAUGCACGCAUGAGCGCUCAGUAUCUGAUGUGCUUCUAUGGCUUGUGAUUCCCUUAUUGAGGGGCGAGAUAUGAUCUUUGUGAGUUGAUGUUGGGCCAGUUUGGAGGGCUUGAGGCCGAAUUUUUGCCUAUAGCUUGAGCACCGAGGUGCUGAUUGUGUGAGCAAGUGUUUUUGAACUUAUAUGUUUGGUAUUGACCCUAUUAGUGGAAGUGAUGGCUGGAUGGCUAUGUAAUGAGUAUGUUAGUACUGUGAGAUGUAUCCAUAUGAUUGGAAGCGACGAGAAGGGCCAGCUGGAGGAUAGAAGAACUAUUAGGUGCUUGAUUUCCAUCUGGAUUUGGGGUAUAGCCCCGAGUUAUGGACGUGUGAAGAAUCUUUUCAUGUUUCCCAGUUGGGAGUGAAGUAAAUUUCAUAUUACGGUAUGAGUUCAGACUCAGGAGGACUAAGUGAUUGCGUAACAUUUAUGAUAGUGGAAGGUAUACAAGAAUGUUAGUUGGAGGUAAAACAGGUGGGUUAUCCCCUGCGGAGUGUUUGAGGUUGUGUGAUCCUCAUGUUGUCUGUUAGAAGAUCUCAGUUACAAGUGAAUUAUAUAUGUUGAAAUUUAAAUUUGGGCCGCUUAAGAGAGUAGGCUUGACUGUUGUAAGGAUGAAUGCGAAAUUGUAGAAGGUACCAGAUGGUCUGUAUUUCACGAGAUUAUGAAUGAUUGAGUUUGAAUCUCACUAUGGUAUUAUGACAGCAAUAGAGUAUAUGCGUUAUGCGUUAUUGAGUGUGUUUUGAUCUAUGGCUUCGAGCCCAAGUGGGGGAGUUUGCUAUUGCUUAGUUGAUUGCAUGGUUAUGUGCUAUGUCAGUUUCACUUUGAGGCGUACUAGUGAAUCAGUUAUGGCUUACGGAGAUUGAGACCGAGGACGUCUCGAGAAAAGAAUUUUUUUGACAAAGGUUAGGUCAUGCUUCAUAGGUGUAUGAGAAUCACAGAAUGUCUUGAGUUGUUGUUGGUAAUGGAUUAUCGACGCAUAGAGUAGGAAGUGGCUUGGUUGUUCUAGGAUGAGGUUACACUCUGCGGUGUUGGAGUGCUAGUGAGGCACAGGUGGUUCUGUUCGUUUAAUCAGGCUGAUUGAAAUUUGAAUAGAGUGAAUGCCUCUCGAGAAUGGUUCUAAUGUAUUCAAGAUUCUACAUGUAAGAAUUACAUAUUUUAAAGUGUAUAUAUGCCUAGAAACUGAGUUUUCAUUGGAAGAUGUCAAGACGUGUGGUAACUUCUAUAUUAAUUAUGGGAUUCUAUGUAUCAGUAUCAAGAAGGUAAAGGUAACGGAUUUAGAUUCGUAGGAAGUCUCUUCAGAGUAAAGCAUUUUGAACGUGUUGCUCGCGGGAAUAUUUGAGGAAGUAUUCAGUAGCUUAUGAGCCUUAGACGGUGUGGCUUCAUGCUUGGGUCCCGUGUGGUAAGUCUGGGUUGAGGAAUUGUGAUGUUAUAUAAAGAAAGAGUAUCAAGUUGAAGGUAAAUCAGAAGGAAACUCGGAUAGAUGGGAUAGUUUGGUAGUAGGCAGAGUCGGUAUAGUAAGGAUAUGAUUAGUUAUUUAGAUGCUUACGAGGUAAUGAGUUUCUGCAGGCGUUUCACGUCAAUUCUCUUGGGUUUUAGUGACCGGCGUAGCUUGGUUAAGUGAAAAGGAUUCAGUCAUGUCAGGUUUGGUUUAUGUUCAAAAGGGAGUCGGAGAGUUCUUAAUGAUUUCUACUGCGAUUAGAGAUGCGUAUUUUCUGCAAGUGUAAGAAGCAUGUGAUGUGUAGUGAUUCUCUUCUGAAUGGGAUAAAUGGAAGUUCUUGGUUGGUUGAGUACAUAGUUGCUUGUCGCUCGAAAGGGAUAUGAAGUUCUCAUGUUAUCUUAGGAUGGUAUGGCAUAUGUGGUAUGUUGUAGAGAAUUGGGAUUUGCAUGUGUAAGGUUACGGUUCAGUUCUGAAUGGAAAGUCAUAAAAUUUUUAGGCAGCACGGGCAGUUUUAGAUGAUUAGAAAAAUGAGCUCCAAAUGAAUAGUGGGAUGAUCUGCAGAUGACUAAGGAAAUGGUAUUGCUAAUUGGAGUAGUUUGACGAGGGUAUAUGUUUCAAGAAAGGCAAUGUGAUUAAGUUGAUGGUACUUCGGUAGUAUUGCGGCGCUUUCUUGAUAGAUUGACUGCUGAUAUUCGCAUUCGCUUGGUGGAACAGAAGAAUUUUAGGGUAUCUCUCGUGGAAGGAUUGGAUAUUAGAGGUGUGGUAUACAUUUGGACGGUGGAAUUGGGUUCAAGUAUGUUGAUUCGUGUACCAUAUGGAUUUGGAGACAGGGAAGUUCUCACAUUCAGGCUAAGUUGUAGUUGUGAGUCAUGUGUAUCGACACUAUUUAGUGACUAUUGGAGUUUGGAGACCCGAGCGGAUCUUUCGUGCUUGGUAUGUUAGAUUUUGGAUGUGAUAUUGGGUUCAGACUGGUUGUCUCUGUGUUGUGUCAUUCUAGGCUAUUAUGCUAAGGCGGCGCUGUUGGCUAUGCCGGAAAUGCCACGGAUUGAGUGGCGAGGUUUGAAGGAUUAUGUCCUAGUGGGGUGGUGUUAUAUUUCAAAGACCCAGCGGACGGCUGGGAAGGAUUGUCUUUCUUAUUUGGGCUUUCAUGAUGGAUGUCAGUGUAGAGACUCCUACCCUUGAUUCAGUUCCGGUGGUGAAGGACUUUUUGGAUGUAUUUCUUGUGGUCGGGCAUGUUUCCGGAUAAGGUGGUUGAUUUAGGUAUUGAUUUGAUGUCGAGCACCAUAUCGUAUGGCACCGACAGAGUUAAAAGAGUUGGAGGAGCAGCUUCAGGAUUUCCUGGAUAAGGAGUUCGUUGGCAGGCCAAUGUGGAUGCGUGUUCUAACUUGAGUCGGCUUGGUUGGCUUCGAAUUGUAUUAUUAAGGGAUAUGUUGAUUCGAUUGUUAUUGAACUUAUUAGUAAUCUAGAGAGAUCUAUGAGUUACCUUUCUGUGUUGCGAGGUGUUAUGAAUUGUUGGUUAUAGGCACAUAUGAUGCGGCUCUAUUGGGGAUUCAUAGUGGAAAUCGAGCGGGAAGAGUAUUUGGGUGUUGCUCGGUGAAUGGCGUAUCCGUUAUUCCUUUUCGGGUUUGUGUGGUGUAUGUUAUUUGCUUCGCCGUAGGUAUGAUGAUUUUCUUUGGUUCCAGACAUCAAAAUGCGCGUGGUUGUCGAUUUCGAGCAUAGUGACCUGAGGUGUUUCCCGUGGAGAAGUGUUUGGAUUGGAUCGUACAUCACAGCGAAGUUAUGUGGGGGUAUGACCUUGCGCGUUAGAUUUAUGUGUUCUAUCCCUAUGAUGUGAGACGAGUUCACAACCUUGUGUUGUGGUGGUACUGUUGAACCUGAGGUACAACUCUUUCAUUUGAGUCAUUUUCAUAAUUUGAGUAUGUUCGGAUUGUUGCUUAUUGGUGCGUGUAUUGUGCAAGUUGCGGCUUAGGCCUGUAUUGAUGUGUCAUGUCACCAGAGUAGUGUUUUGGAUUAGAUGAUAUCGUUGGGAUCAUUAAUGAAUGCGAACAGAUUCGAUUUCAGCAUGUUGGAAGGAUAACAUCGAGGUUCGACUCAGAAAUUUGUUGUGGUCCUUGCCAAAAGAGAAGUGGCUUUAUGAAUGGCUGGUUUGAGAAAUGGUUAUGGUUUACUGCGUGUUUAUUUAUCAUUGUUAGUAUAUGGAAGUAUUAGAAUGAGACUUUAAUUGAUAAGAGGUUUUCUAUCGGUAUUCGAUUGUUGUGUGCAACUGAUGUGAUUAGGAGUUAUCACUACCAGUGUUUGAGUUAUGUGGUAUAUCUUGUAAUUGCACCCAACAUUGCAGGUAUGGGUUAUUAUAGCUUGUUCGGGCUUAUUCGGAGUAUAGGUGCAAGAUUUUGAUCUUGUGGAUGAUUUCUGUAGUGGAAAUGUGGUUCUAAGGUUUAUGGGUUGAUAUAUUGUGAAAUUUCAGUUAUAUUGUGUUAUCGGACCUAUAUGACAUAGGGUGAUAUGGGAUCACCCCCGGAUAUAUGCAUGGUAAGGUUAUUCAGUGAUUGGUUGGCUUUUGGAACAACUCUGGGCACGUUUGAGGACAAACGUAUGUUUAAGUGGGGGAGGAUGUAAUGACCCGACCGGUCGUUUGGAGCUUUUGCACUUUGCUCGCCAGUUCUCGGGCAUGACUUGCCUCGUGUGAUGUAUUAUGACUUAUGUAAAUCGUUGGUUUUGGUUUUCAGGGUAAUCGGAAUGAAUUUGGAAGAACAGUUCUCAUUUGAAGCUUGAAAUUUGAAAGGUUUGACCAAGAUUUCACUUGUUGGUAUAUGAUCUCGGAUCGAAAUUUUUUUGGUUAUCUCCGUUAGGUGAUUUGGGACUUAGGAGCAUGAUCGGAAUGCAUUUUGGAAGUCCGUGGGAAGGUUUAGGCUUGACUUGGCGAAAUUGAGAUUUCAGCGUUUUCUAGUUGAUAGGUGAGAUUUUGAUAUAGAGGUCGGAAUGGAAUUCCAGAAGUUACAGUAGCUUCGUUAUGUCAUUUGUGACUUGUGUGCAAAAUUUCAAAUCAUUCAGACGUGGUUUGGUUGGGUUUUUGAUCAAAAGCGUAAUUCGGAAGAUUUUGGAAUUCUUAGGCUUGAAUUUGAUGCGAAUUUGGUGUUUUAAUGUUGUGUUGAGCGUUCCGAAGGUUGGAACAAAUUUGAAUGAGAUUAUGGGAUAUGUUGGCAUGUUUGGUUGAGGUCCCGAGGGCCUCAGGUGAGGUUUGGGUGGUCUAUCAGACCAUUUCAUGUUGUGUGAAAUUGCAGAAAACCAGCUGAAGUGUUGCAGACAAUUUGUUCUUCGUGUUCGCGGUCAGAGACCCGCGUUCGCGAAGGGUAUUCUUCUGAGGCGCGAGCUUUUGCCUUUGCAUUCGCAUUUCGAGUGUCACGUUCGCGAUGUUGUGAUGUUUGAUACUCCGCGUUCGCGAGGCCUGUGUCGCGUUCGCAUAGAGUAAGUAGAAACAGAUGGGGUCCCAGCCUUUUUGUGCUUCGUGUUCGCGUAAAGAGCUCGUGUUCGCGAUGGUUUGGAAAGCGGAUGCUUCGCGUUCGAGAGUUGUAGGUCGCGUUCGCGUAAGGGAAUAUUUGGUCAGCAGAUUUUUUGUGCUUCGCGAAUGCGAGGCUUUGACCGUGCUCUCCAAUGUUUUAAAAGGGCUAUUCCACGAUUUUGAGGUUAAGAACCUCCAUUGUUGGACAUUUUGAAACUUGGGAGAGCUAAUUGAAGAGGUAAUUCAAGAAGAUUUCUUGGAGGUAAGUUUUUUGAACUCAAAACUCGAUUCUUGUGUGAAUUCCACCUAAUUAAUCAUGGAAUUAAGCCUAAAAUUAAGGAAUUAGGGCUUGAAUUUGGAGAGUGUAAAUUUGGGAUUUGAGGGGCCAUUUGAGGUCCGAUUUUAAUGUUCUUGGUAUGUAUAGACUCGUAUGAGGAUAAGGAUUCCAUUGAUGUUAAUUUCGUCGGAUUCCGAGUCGUGGGAUUGGGGCCGGGUUUGAGCAAUUUCGAGAUUUUUGAUGUAAAUUGGAUAUUUUCGAUUAGGCUUCGUUCCCUUUGCAUAUUUUAAUGAUUAUGUACUGAUUAUGGUUAGAUUUGAAGAAUCCAGAGGUCGAUUCGUGCGGGCAAGGCAUCGCAGGCAAGGCAUCGCGGGCUAGAGUUUGGACCGGAUCGAGGUGAGUAAUGAUUGCAAAUGAUGUUCUGAGGGUUUGAAACCCCGGAUUGCACAUCGUAGUGCUAUGUUGAGGUGAGACACAUGCUUGAUGACAAGUGUGAGGUCGUGUACUAUUGGGGAUUGUGACUUGGUCCAUCUUGGUUGAUGAUUUUACUGCGUAUUUGACUGAAAACUAUUUGCUAUCAUAAUUAUUUGGGCUGAAUGCCAUAUUUGGGCUUCGUGCCAACUAUUUGAACCCUUCGGGGAUUUUCAUUGCUAUUUCCUCACUAUUUUGACUUUAUACUUGAACUCAGUCAUAUUUUUUUCCACUGUUGUCAAAAUGCAACCAUGUUUACUCUGUUUUAAUACUUGAAAUGAUGUUUUAAAUCAUAUUUUGUGCUGAGCAUCAUGUUUUACUGUUGCCCGAGUGGCUUAUGUGAUUUUUGAUUGAGUAAGGCCGAGGGCCUGUGUUGUGAGGAUACUUUUGGGUCGGGCUUCAUGCCGCAGCGGAGAUACACUGAUUUGAUUAUGAGGCCAAGGGCCUGAGAUAUGUACGCCAUGAGGUGGCUUGUUGAUAUUGAUAUGAGGCUGAGAGCCUAUUUUAUGAUGCCACGAGGUCGCUUGAUAUUGCGCUUGUGCCGUAAGGGGCCCCUCUCGGAGUCUGCACACCCCCAGUGAGCGCGACUACCCAUUGUGAUGUGAGAUAUAGCUCGAGGGCCUGAUAUUGUUCUAUGUGAUAGCUCGAAGGGCUAGUAUUGUUCCAUGUGAUUGUGCCCGAGGGGCUAGUACUGUUCUGAGAUAUUGCCCGAGGGGCGGAGUGUUGACAUUGUGCCCGAGGGGCCAACAUUAUGUGCUUAUCUUUCUUAUUUGCCUGUCAUUACCUGUUUAAUUGUGUAUUUGUGCAUGAGGGGCGGAUUUUCUAAGCUGAUCUGCACUAAUUGUUUGGCUUUCAUUUGCGUAACUGUUGAAAAGUCAUUUUCAUAGAAGUUUAAACUGAGCUAAGACAUUUUAAGAGAUUUUUCAGCUUCAUUGCUUUCUUACUGGUUUUUUUCUUGCUUUUAUACAGCAUGUUGAUGCACUUUUUGUGAUUUCUUACUAUUCAGACAUUAGUUAUGAUUAUUACUCACUGAGGUUGAGUACUCACUUUACUCCAUGUACCUUGUGUGUAGAUUCAGGUAUUUUUGAACCCAGUAGAGGGUAUUAGCUGAUUGGAGGUAGAGUCAUCGGAGUUUAGCAAGGUAGCUGCCAGCAUUCACAUCACUGCUUUUCUCCCUAUUGAUGUACUUGGACUGUAUUUAGCCUGUUUCAGAACUUAGUUGUAUAUUAGACCUUAGUAGAUUCUCGUGACUUGUGACACCCCGAUGUCAGGCUGCGUUUGGGAUGUAUUCCGCACCUUAUAAAAUCUUUUGCUUAGUCUUUGGCUUAUUUACUCAUGCUUAGACUGUUUAUAGAUGUUUAACUGUUUUAAAAAUUGAAUUGGGACUAAUUGGAUGGACUUAUCUUCACGAGAGGCGCCAUCACGACCGGGUCCGGGUAUAGGGUCGUGACAUAUCCUCCCCCUCUUAAACAAAUGUUCAUCCUCGAACGGGUCUAGAAACAUACCUGGAGCCACAAAUAGGUAGGGAUAUCUGCUCCGCAUCUCCUGCUCUGUCUCCCAAGUGGCCUCCUUGACGGGCUGACCUCUUCACUGUACCUUCACUGAAGAUAUAUCCUUUUACCUCAACUUUCGAACUUGCCGAUGCAAAAUGGUCAACGACUCCACAUCAUAAGUCAAAUCACCAUCCAACUGAACUGUGCGGAAUCCAAAACAUGAGACGGAUCACCAACAUACUUCCGAAGCAGAGAAACAAGAAAUAUUUGAUGCACACUUGACAAACUAGGUGGUAAGGCAAGCUUGUAAGCCACCUCUCCAAUCGUCUGAAGUUCCUCAAAUGGGCCAAUAAACUGAGGGCUCAAAUUUCCCGUGUUCCCGAACCUCAUAACACACUUCAUGGGUGAAACCUUCAGCUGAACCUUCUCCACAACCAUGUAAGACACAUCACGGACCUUCCUGUUGGCAUAGCUCUUCUAUCUAGACUGCACCAUGCGGAGCCGCUCCUAAAUCAAUUUAACCUUGUCCAAUGCAUCCGUAACCAAGCCAGUGCCCAAUAGCCUAGCCUCACCCAACUCAAACUAGCCCACCAGAGAUAUACAUCAUCUCCCAUACAGAGCCUCAUACGGAGCCAUCUGAAUGCUCGGCUGAUAACUAUUAUUGUAGGGAAACUCCACGAGCAGCAGAAACUAGUCCCAUGAACCCCCAAAAUUAAUGACACAGGCACAUAGCAUGUCCUCCAAUAUUUAAUAGCGCGGUCGGACUGUCCAUACAUCUAAGGGUGAAAUGUUGUACUUAACUUAACCUGAGUGCCUAACUCUCGCUGUUGGGAUCUCCAAGACUACGAUGGAAACUGUGUGCCUCUAUCUGAAAUGAUGGAAACUGGCACACCGUGAAGGCGCACAAUCUCUUCGAUGUACAUCUCAGUCAACCGCUCUGAAGAAUAACUAGUACCAACUGUAAUGAAGUGCACAUACUUAGUUAGCUGAUCCACAAUCACCCAAAUAACAUUGAAGUUCCUCGAAGUUUGUGGGAGCCUAUAUACGAAAUCCAUGGUGAUCCGUUCCCACUUCCACUCUGGAAUCUCUAUCCUCUAAAGCAAUCUACCAGAUCUCUGAUGCUCAUAUUUUACCUGUUGAGAGUUAAUACACCAAGCUAAAAACUCCACUAUAUCGUUCGUCAUUCUCCUCCACCAAUAGUGUUGUCCCAAGUCUUGUACAUCUUCGCGGCACCUGGAUGAAUGGAAUACCGCAAUCUGUGGGCCUCCUCAAGAAUCAACUCACGUAGCCCAUCUACAUUGCGCACACAUAUCCGACCCUACUUCCUCAACACCACAUCAUCUCCAAUAGUAACAUCUAUAGCAUCACCAUGUUGAACCUUGUACUUGAGGACAAGUAAAUGAGGAUCAUCAUAUUGGUGCUCUCUGAUGUGAUCAAAUAAGGAAGACCGAGAAACUACAUAGGUUAGAACCCGAAUGGGCUCCAAAACAUCUAAUCUCACGAACUGGUUGGCCAAGGCCUGAGCAUCAAGUGUAAGAGGUCUCUCACCAACGGGAAUGAAUGCAAGGCUACCCGUGCUUACCGCCUUCCUACUCAAGGCAUAGGCCACCACAUUCGCCUUCCCCGGAUGAUACAGAAUAGUGAUGUCAUAGCUUUUUAGUAGCUCCAACUAUCUCUGCUGCCUCAAAUUUAGAUCCUUCUGUUUUAACAACUGCUGGAGGCUCCAAUGAUUUAUAAAUACCUCACAAGACACACCAUAAAGAUAGUGCCUCCAAAUCUUUAAUGCAUAAACAUGGGCAACCAACUCCAAAUCAUGAACAUGGUAGUUCUUCUUAUGAGGCUUCAACUGGCGUGGAGCAUAAGUAAUCACUCUACCCCCUGCAUCAAAACACACCUAAUAUCGAUUUGAGUAGCCUCACAAUACACUAUAUAAUAGCCUGAAGCUGAAGGAAAAACUAGAACUGGAGUUGUGGUCAAGGUAGUCUUCAGCUUCUAAAGGCUCUCCACACACUCAUUCGACCACCUGAAAGGAGCACCCUUUUGGGUCAAUUUGGUCAAGGGCGAUACAAUAGAAAAUAAACCAUGCACGAAGCGACGGUAGUAAACAACCAACCCUAGAAUGCUCUAAAUCUCCGUAGUUGAGGAUGGUCUGUGCCAACUCUGAAUUGCCUUUAUCCUCUUCGCAUCCACCUGAAUCCCCUCACAAGACACCACAUGCCCCAAGAACGCCAAUUGAAUGAGCCAAAACUCACACUUGGAGAACUUUGCAUAAACCUUCUCCCCCCUAACCGAUGCAACAUAACCCUUAAAUGUUUACUAAGGAGAGUACCCAAGGAUAUCAUCAAUGAACACAAUAAAAAAUGACUUGAGAUAACGGUGAAACGCACUAUUCAUCAGAUGCAUGAACGCUCCUAGGGCACUUGUCAGCCCAACAGACAUCACACAAAACUUAUAAUGACCAUAACCGGUCCUGAAAGUUUUCAAAGAUUAUCCCAAUCCUGAAUCUUCAGCUGGUGAUACCCUGACCUCAAAUCAAUCUUGGAGAACACCCUCGUUCCCUGAAGCUGGUCAAAAAGAUCAUCAAUGCGUGACAAAGGAUACUUGUUCUUGAUUGUGACUUUGUUCAACUGCCUAUAAUCAAUGCACAUUCUCAUGAUACCAUCCUUCUUCUUCACAAACAGAAAACGGUGCACCCCAAGGUGACAUACUAGGCCUAAUAAACCCCUUAUCAUGAAAUUCCUGAAGCUGCUCUUUCAACUCCUACAACUCAGCCGGUGCCAUACGGUACAGAGGAAUAGAAAUGUUUUGAGUACCCGGCACCAAGUUAAUAUCCCUGUCGUGUGGCAAUCCCGAUAGGUCUGCAGGAAACAAAUCCAGGAAAUCUCGCACCACCAGAUCGGAAUCAAUAGUAGGGGUCUCAGCACCAAUAUAUCUCACAAAGGCCAAAUAAGAUGAACAACCCUUCCUAACCAUCCGCUGGGCCUUUAAGUAUGAACUCACUCUGCUGGGAACAUAGUCUAUAGAACCUCACCACUCAAUCCGUGUCAACCCCGACAUCAUCAAUGUCAUAGUCUUAGCGUAAUAAUCUAGAACAACAUGACAUGGAGACAACCAGUCCAUACCCAAGAUCACAUUGAAAUCAACCACACUAAGUAACAACAUAUCAACUCUAAUCUCCAAUCCCCCCAAUAGUCACUAUAUACGACCGAUAUACAUGGCCCAUAAUAAUAGUGUCUUUUAUCGCGUAGAUCCAUGAACAAAUGAAAAUAGAGACUUAUGAGGUAUAUCCAAAUAAUGAGAAAAAUACAAUGAUACAUAUGAUUAAGUAGAACCAAGGUCAAAUAAGGCAAACUAAGGCAAUACCUGUGAUCACUGCAUCUGAUGCUAUGGAAUAUGGUCUGGAGGGAAGAGCAUAGAAUCGAGCCUGACCACCACCUCAUCGGCCUUCCUCUUUAGGGCGACCUCUAGUUGACUGAGCCCAACCUCAAGCUGGCUAAGUUAGUGGUGUAGCAACCGGUGCAGAAGUCGCCGCCUGACUCCUCUGUUAUCGUUGACCUCCCAGAUAACGAGGACACUGCCUCCACACAUGCCCAAACUCUGCACAUUAAAAGAAACUCCCUAGUGUUGGUGAUGGAGACUAAAGGGAGCCCCGAGCACCAGAAUAACUAGUAGAAUGAAAUGGCAUAGCUGAGCUCUUAACCGAUGGAGCACGGAACGAACUCUAAGCUGGAAGGGCAUUGAGAGAUGACUAGCCCUGAUGAGAACUAUAAGAACCCUAGCCGUUUGUGAGGGUUUACGCACGGAACCCUAGCCGAACUCCCUAGCACGGAACAAACUCUAAGCUCGGUUUACGCACCGCGGUGAACUGGACAAGCCGUUUGAUCAUGCCUGAAAGGACGACCUCAAUCAUGGUAGAACUGACACCUAGAAGGUCCACCGCUGAAACCUCCUGAUCCACGAGGCCUCAUGGCCUCCCCUCAUCCCUCUCAUGGUUACAGACCAACUUUAUCUGCCGAACAAUGUCAAUGACCUCAUCGAAAGUAGCACCAGAUACCUUCUCUCUAGUCAUAAGAAACCACAGCUGAUAUGUGAGGCCGUCAAUGAACCUUCUGAUCCUCUCCCUAUCAGUGGGAACCAACCAAAUUGCAUGAGGGGCCAACUCAGAAAACCUCAUCCCGUACUACAUCAUAGGCAUACCAUCCUGAUAAAGCUACUCAAAUUGUCUACGCAGCUCCUCUCUGCGAGACUGAGGCAUGAACUUCUCCAAGAAGAGAACGGAGAACUCUUGCCAUGUAAGUGGUGUUGCACCGACCGUCCUAAGCCUCUCAUAAUCCUCCCACCAUAUGAAGGCCGCCCCAAUGAACUUAAAAGUAGUGAACGAUAACUACCUAUUGUAUGAAGAAUCCUCGGACACUUGUCCAAGAAAACUCGGGGCAUACCUGUUACAUCUCGCAUUUUCGUACGUUAAAAGUUUCGUCUUCAGUUAAUUGAUGUAGACUCUCGGAUGAGAUCAUCUUGACAUUAAAGUAUUUAUUCUAUUUAUAACAAGCAAUAAAUAAGUGUCAUGAAGGAUAAAGGCUACAUGAAUUAAAGAAAACGAGUUUCGUUGAAAGUGGCAAAUUCAGGAUAAAAUAUGGGUCGAGCGAUAAUACACGAUAAUUAUGAACUAGUACCAUGCAAGGUACCUUAUGACCACAGUAGUAUAAUAUAUAAAGUAUAUAAAAAAUAAUAAAUAGAAUUUUAAGUAAUUUGUGGCAAUUUUUAAAUUAUUCGGGUAAUUGGUUAAUUAACGGGUAACAGAACAUUACCCAGUUAAUUAAUAGGUAGAAAAAAUUAACAAAAUUUCACUCAAAAAAUGUGGCACGAAUGCCACAAGGCUAAGAAUGACUCAUAAGUCAUCUAUUCCAUGUGGCCACUUAUAGUCAAAUUAAAAAUCUAACUAACAUAACACUUUAAUCUAAGUUUUAUGUAUCUCAUUCAUUAGGUUCAAAUACAUUAGAAGGUCAGAAACAAUUCCUUCUUAAAGGGUUCAAGGAAAACGUUAAAAAAUAGAAGGUAAUUUUCGUUUCAAAAAAGCUUCAUUAGAACAAAUUCGUUCAAAUUUCAAAAAACCAAAGCAAGAUUUCGUUCAUCAACUUCAAAAUUCAGAAGCUUAAUCUGAUUUUUGGGUUCUAAGUUCAAUCCACGAAGGUUUCCAACGAAAUAUUAUACAGAGUUUUUCCUACUCCGGGUAUGUUAAGGUCAUCCCUUCUUUCUUUUGAUAUAGUCCAAAUGAUACUGAAGGAAUGAGCAAACGCAGAGUUUUCAUAAAUUACUCUAUUCAUACAUAUGCAAGCGGUGUCUAUAUUCUUGAUACCCUAUGAGAAUUAAUAUUAUCUUAUAUUCAUGGGUUUCAGAAUAAGAUGCAGUUGAAAAAAAAGUUUAUUCGGAAGAAAUAUUGAGGUUUUUACAUAUUUUUCAUGCAUUUCACCCAUUGAUGCAUGUGAAUUGACCCAUGACCAGAUGACAUUAUAUACGCGUAUAUAUGUAAAUAUAUGUAUAUGGGAUAUGGAAAAUGGUUAUGGCGUUACAUACGCACCACUACCUGAUCAGCUGGUAUAUGUUGAUCAUAUUGCCCACAGUGGCCGAGACGAUAUCAUGGGAUGCCCUCAGUGGCUUGACGAUAUAAUGUACACCCAUACUUAUGCAUUGCAUGAUAUUUAUAUGCACGUGCAUGACAAUAUAAAAGUUUUAGAAUUUAUAAAGUUAUUCAUAUUUAACGACGUGUUUCUAUAUUCCAUGUUUCAUCUAUGUCUUUUACUUACUAAUUUUCAUGCCUUACAUACUUAGUAAAUUUUUCAUACUGACGCCAUAUUUCAUGGGGCCCACGUUUCAUGCCUGCAGGUGCAGGUAGGAUAGCUGACGGUCCCCCUUCUUAUGAUCGUUGAUCAGUGAAAGUUGGCAUGAUCCACUUGAUCCGGAGUUGCUUUAGAUUUUGGUAUGAUAUAUGUAUGUAUAUAUAUAUAUAUAUAUGUGUGUGUGUAUGACAUGGCUCAGUCCCGUCUUUGUAUAGUUAUAUUUCCAUUCGAGAUCUGUAGACAAUAUGUCUAGUUGGGUUGUAUGUGACCUUGUUGGCUUUCAGUUUUGAAUUUACAACUGUCUAUAGCAGCUCGAGGAGAGUCUCAUGGUGAGGUUCCAUCUUAGACUUCACAUAACCCGCCUUUUCCAGAAGAGUUCUGAGGGGCACUAGCUCCAGCGCUCGCCCCUAUACAUUUAACACUUCAGCCAGAUAUACCGGAUCAGGAAAUGAGAGAUACUAUUUAGUUUUGACCCGAUUAGUAGCUGCACAGGCUCGACGUCAGGAAGUAGGUAUUGGUUAUGCAGAUAGGUCCGUGAGUACGAGGGUUCGUGACUUCAUUAAUUUAAACUCCCCAGGUAUUCACUGGGCAGAUAUGAACAAGGACCCUCAGGUAUUUAUUGAUAGAGUGUAGAGGACGUUACGGGCAAAGAAGGCAACUGCGGCUGAGUAAAUUGAGCUAGCUUCCUAUAGACUCCGAGAUGUUGCAGUUAAUUGGUACGAGUCUUAGGAAUUAUCCAGAGGUGAGGAUGCCCCUCCAGCAGUAUGGCAAGAGUUUACAAAAGCUUUUCUUUAUCAUUAUUUGCCACCAGAGCCUAGGCGGGCCAGAGUUGAUAGGUUCUUGACCCUUCAACAAGGUAACAUGUGUGUUCGGGAGUACAAUCUUCAAUUUGAUUCGUUGGACAUGUAUGCUCCCAAUGUUGUAUCUAAAAUGGAGGAUUGGGUUCACCGGUUCGGGAUGGGAUUAGAGCCUCACUUGCUUAAUGAUUGUAUGUCGGUCUCACUUCAUCCAGACAUGGACAUUUCUCAUAUUCAGGCAUACGCUCAAGGUUUAGAGGAGCGUAAAUAGAAACAGAGGGACGAUCAUGAGAAUGAUAGGGCAUAGAAUAAGAGAGUGAGGUCCUUCUGGUGAGUUUCGAGGUGGUCAAAGGCAGCAGUACCCAAGGUAUCUAGCCUAGCCAUUGGCUAGCGCACCACCUCAGUUUGGCGCUAAGAGAUUUGAUUGUUCCUCAUAUUCAGGGUCUGGUCAUAAUUUCAGGGCCUUAGGUUCUCAGUAUAGGGGUGAGUCAAAUCAGAUGAAGCCGCCCUUGCCACGGUGUGCUCAAUGUGGUAAGCAGCAUACCGGGCAGUGCCAUAUGGUAUUAGGUAUUUGUUAUACGUGUGGUUAUCCAGGCCACAUUAUGAGGGAUUGUCCGAUGAGUGGUGAUGCAAUCAUAGCUCAUCUAGUAGGAUCUGUAGCUGGUUUAUGCGUUGGUAGGUUUACAGGACAAAGAGUCAUUGGCUGAUGUUGUUACAGGUAUAUUAUCAGUCUCCUCAUAUGAGGUAUAUUCACUGAUUGACCCAGGUUCCACCUUAUCAUACGUUACUCCGUUGGUUGCUAGCAAAUUUGAUAUAAAACAUGAAUUGGUUAAACCUUUUAAGGUGUCUACAUUGGGACUCAGUGAUAGAUAAACAGGUAUAUAGGUGUUGUAUAAUAGUAGUUCAUGGUCGACCUACCGUAGCAGACGUAAUCGAUUUAGAUAUGGUAGAAUUUGAUAUUAUAAUGGGUAUGGAUUGAUUGGCUUUUNNNNNNNNNNNNNNNNNNNNNNNNNUAAUACGGCAUCGCCGAGAAGAAGACUCAUUUCCUAUCUCAAGGCAAGGAAGAUGAUUAGAAAGGGUGGUAUUUAUCACUUAGUUCGGGUUCAGGAUGUGGAAGUGGAGUCACCAACCAUUCAGUCCAUCCCAGUGGUUAAUGAGUUUCUUGAUGUUUUUCCCGAUAAACUUCUAGGCCUUCCGCCAGAGCUAGAAAUUGAGUAUGACAUUGACCUACUACCAGAUACUCAUCCUAUAUAUAUUCCCCCUAUAGAAUGACCCCCGCAGAGGUGAAAGACUUAGAGGAAAGACUAAGGGACGUGCUUGGAAAAAGUUUUAUCAGACCUAGUACGUCACCGUGGGGAGCACUUGUGUUGUUUGUGAGAAAGAAAGAUGGUUCCUUACGGAUGUGUAUUGAUUAUAGACAGUUGAAUAAGGUAACGUUCAAGAAUAAGUACCCGUUCCUGAGGAUUGAUGAUUUAUUUGGUUUGUUGCUAGGUGCCAAGUGUUUUUUCAAAAAUAGAAUUGAGGUCCGGAUACCAUCAGGUAAGGGCUCAGGAUGAAGAUAUUCGGAAGACAACAUUCAAGACCAGAUAUGGGCACUUUGAGUUUUGUGUUAUGUCGUCUGGCAUGACCAAUGCCCUAGCAGUAUUUAAGGAUUUGAUGAACCGUGUGUUCAGAGGCUGAGCAUGUAGAUCAUUUGCGUAUUGUGCUCAGAGUUCUACAAAAAGGGAAGUUGUAUGAAAAAUUCUCUAAGUGUGAAUUCUGGUUAAACUCUAUAGCUAUCUUGGGCAUAUCAUUUUGGGUGAAGGCAACCAGGUGGAUACACAAAAGAUUGAGGCAGUAAAGACAUGGCCUAGACCCACAACACCAAUGGAGGUUCGUAGCUUUCUUUGUUUGGUAGGUUAUUACAGGAGAUUUGUAGUGGGAUUUUCUUCCCUUUCAGCACCUUUGACAAUGUUGACUUAGAAGGGAGCAAAGUUUAAAUGGACUGAUUCCUCCAAAUGGAGUUUCCAGUCAUUAAAGUACAAAUUAGCGUGAGCACCGAUUCUAACACUUCCAGAAGGGACCUAUGGUUAUGUUACCUAUUGUGACACUCCAGGAAUUGGGUUAGGUUGUGUGCUGAUGCAGCAUGGUAAGGUUGUGGCUUAUGCUUCUAGGCAACUAAGAAAGCACGAGAAGAACUACCCGACCCACAAUUUAGAGUUAGUCGCGGUGAUUCAUGCACUAAAGAUAUGGAGGCACUACUUGUAUGGCAUUCACGUUGAUAUCUAUAUGGAUCAUAAGAGCCUCUAGUACAUCUUCAAGCAAAAGGAAUUGAAUCUACGUCAAAGGAGAUGGUUGGAGAUACUUAAAUACAAUGACGUUGAUAUCUCAUACCAUCUGGGGAAGGCGAACGUAGUAACUGAUGCCCUCAGCCAUAGGUCUAUGGGUAGCCUGUCGUAUUUAUAGCUAGGAAAGAGGGGAAUAGCUCAUGAGGUUCAUCACCUAGCUAGUCUUGGAGUUCUAUUACUGGACAUAGGUGAUAUUGGAAAUACUAUUCAAGAUAUGGCCACAUCCUUUUUAGUAACUGCAGUAAAGGAACGCCUGUACAAGGAUCUAGUGUUAGUUCAUUAUAGGGAUACCACCCUUAAGAAGGAGAACACACCGUUUGAAAUUACAGAAGACGGGGUCCUCAAAUAUUGAGGAUGAUUGUGUGUCCCUAAUGUUGCAGGGCUACGUCGGCAGGUUAUGGCAGAAACUCACUAUUCUCGUUAUUCUGUCCAUCCAGGAGCGACCAAGAUGUAUCAUGAUAUUAGGGAAGUGUAUUGGUGGGAUGGAAUGAAAAGGGAUAUAGUAGAGUUUGUUGCUUAGUGUCCUAACUGUCAGCAUGUUACGAUUGAGCAUCAGAAACCUGGUGGGUUAUUGCAAGCUAUGGAGAUUCCGACUUAGAAAUGGGAAGUAAUCAAUAUGGAUUUCAUCGUAGGCUUACCUAGUACCCAGCGUAAUUCGAUUCGAUAUGGGUNNNNNNNNNNNNNNNNNNNNNNNNNNNNNNNNNNNNNNNNNNNNNNNNNNNNNNNNNNNNNNNNNNNNNNNNNNNNNNNNNNNNNNNNNNNNNNNNNNNNNNNNNNNNNNNNNNNNNNNNNNNNNNNNNNNNNNNNNNNNNNNNNNNNNNNNNNNNNNNNNNNNNNNNNNNNNNNNNNNNNNNNNNNNNNNNNNNNNNNNNNNNNNNNNNNNNNNNNNNNNNNNNNNNNNNNNNNNNNNNNNNNNNNNNNNNNNNNNNNNNNNNNNNNNNNNNNNNNNNNNNNNNNNNNNNNNNNNNNNNNNNNNNNNNNNNNNNNNNNNNNNNNNNNNNNNNNNNNNNNNNNNNNNNNNNNNNNNNNNNNNNNNNNNNNNNNNNNNNNNNNNNNNNNNNNNNNNNNNNNNNNNNNNNNNNNNNNNNNNNNNNNNNNNNNNNNNNNNNNNNNNNNNNNNNNNNNNNNNNNNNNNNNNNNNNNNNNNNNNNNNNNNNNNNNNNNNNNNNNNNNNNNNNNNNNNNNNNNGUAGAGUUUGUUGCUUAGUGUCCUAACUGUCAGCAUGUUACGAUUGAGCAUCAGAAACCUGGUGGGUUAUUGCAAGCUAUGGAGAUUCCGACUUAGAAAUGGGAAGUAAUCAAUAUGGAUUUCAUCGUAGGCUUACCUAGUACCCAGCGUAAUUCGAUUCGAUAUGGGUGAUUGUUGAUAGGCUUACAAAGUCAGCCCAUUUUCUGCCCGUUAGAACUAUAUAUUGCUCGGAGGAUUAUGCAAGGCUUUAUAUUAAAGAGAUAGUACGACUGCAUGGUGUCCCUGUAUCUAUUAUCUCAGAUAGAAGAGCUCAAUUAAUAGCUAACUUCUGGAGGUCCUUUUAAAAAGGAUUGGGGACUCAAAUAAAUCUUAGUAAAACAUUUCAUCCCCAAACAGACAGACCGGCUGAGCGUACUAUUCAAAAACUAGAUGAUAUGUUACGAGCUUGUGUAAUAGACUUCAAAAAUAACCGGGAUGAUCAUCUGCAACUUAUUGAGUUUGCGUAUAAUAAUACUUACCAUUCCAGUAUUCAGAUGUCUCCAUAUGAAGCUCAUUACGGAUGAAUGUGCAGGUCUCUUAUAGGGUGGUUCGAUGUUGGAGAAUCUGGAUUACAUGGGCCAGACCUGGUUCAGCAAGCCAUAGGAAAAGUAAAGCUUAUCUAGGAUCGACUAUUGACAUCUCAGAGUCGUCAGAAGUCAUAUUCUGACAUGCGGCAUGGAGAUUUAGAGUUCGAGGUUGAUGACUGGGUAUUCUUAAAGGUGUCACCUAUGAAGGGAGUGAUGAGAUUUGGCAAGAAAGGCAAAUUUAGCCCACGGUAUAUUGGGCUUUAUAGGAUCAUUCAAAGAGUGGUCCAAGAAGCUUAUGAGUUAGAAUUUCCCUCGGAAUUGGAGUCUAUCCAUUCGAUUUUUCACGUAUCUAUAUUACGGAAGUACAUUGGCGAUCCUACCAGAGUGGUGCCCACAGAUGAUGUACAGAUUACAGAGGACUUGUCAUACGAAGAAAUUCCGGUUGCCAUCCUAGACCGACAUAUCCACAAGCUACGAAAUAAGGAGGUAGCCUCCGUAAAAGUACUUUGGAGGAACAACAAUGUGGACGAAAUGACUUGGGAGGCUGAGGAAGGCAUGAUGUCCAGAUGUCUUUACUUAUUUCCUCCUACAGAGAAGGUUCCGACUGAGACAUCAUAACCAUAAGGUACAUGUAGAAAUUCUUUUAUUGGUUAUUGUCGUUGGUCGUCUGAGGCCAUCGUCAUUAUUGAUAAUUGUGGUCCUGUGUGGCGUUGGAUUAUUAUGCUUCUAGAGAGAUAGUUGGUAAUAGUGUUGUUACAAAGGCGAUCCUGCCAAAGUUAUAUAGAUCACAGGGAGUUGAACAUUCGAGGACGAAUGUUUCUAAGGGGAGAAGGAUGUUACAUCUCACAUUUUCGUACGUUAAAAGUUUCGUCUUCAGUUAAUUGACGUAGACUCCGAGAUGAGAUCAUCUUGACGUUAACAUAUUUACGAUAUUUAUAACAAGCGAUAAAUAAGUGUCAUGAAGAAUAAAGGAUACACGAAUUAAAGAAAACAAGUUUCAUUGAAAGUGGCCAAUUUAGGAUAAAAUACGGGUCGAGCGAUAAUACCCGAUAAUUAUAAACUAGUACCAUGCAAGGUACCAUAUGACCACGGUAGUAUAAUAUAUAAAGUGUUUAAAAAAAUAAGUAGAAUUUUAAGUAAUUUCUGGAAAUUUUUAAAUUAUUCGGAUAAUUGGUUAAUUACGGGUAACAGAACAUUACCCAGUUAACCAAUAAGUGGAUAAAAAUUAAUAAAAUGUCAUUCAAAAAACGUGGCACAAAUGCCACAAGGCUAAGAAUGACUCAUAAGUCAUCUAUGCCAUGUGGCUACUUAUAGUCAAAUUAAAAAUCUAACUAUCAUAACACUUUAAUCUAAGUCUUAUCUAUCUCAUUCAUUAGGUUCAAUUACAUUAGAAGAUCAGAAACAAUUCCUUCUUAAAGGAUUCAAGGAAAACGUUAAAAAUAUAAGGUAAUUUUCGUUUAAAAAAAGCUUCAUUAGAAGCAAUUUCGUUCAAAUUUCGAAGAACCAAAGCAAGAUUUCGUUAAUCAAUUUCAAAGGAAGAAGCUUAAUCUGAUUUUUGGGUUCUAAGUUCAAUCCACGAAGGUUUUCAACGGAAUAUUAUACAGAGUUUUUCCUACUCCAGGUAUGUUAAGGUCAUCCAUUCUUUCUUUUGGCAUGGUCCAAAUUAUACUGAAGAAACGAGCAAACACACAGUUUCAAUAAAUUACUCUAUUCAUAUAGAUACUAGGGGUGUCUAUAUUCUUGAUUCCCCAUGAGAAUUAAUAUUAUCUUCUAUUUAUGGGUUUCAGAAUAAUACACAAUUGAAAAAAAGUUUAUCCGGAAGAAAUAUUGAGAUUUUUACGUAUUUUUCAUGCAUUUCACCCAUUUAUGCAUGUGCAUUGACCUAUGACCAGAUGACAUUAUAUACGUGUAUAUAUGUGUAAAUAUGUAUAUGAGAUAUGGGAAAUGAUUAUGGCGUUAUAUACGCACCACCACCUGAUUAGUUGGUUUAUGUUGAUGAUGUUGCCCAAAGUGGUCGAGAUGAUAUGAUGGGAUGCCCUUAGUGGCUUGAUGAUAUCAUGUACACACAUACAUAUGCAUGGCAUGACAUUUAUACGCAUGUGCAUGACAUUAUAUAUGUUUUAGAAUUUGCAAAGCUAUUAAGAUUUAAAGACGUGUUUCUAUAUUCCAUGUUCCAUCUAUGUCUUUUACAUACUAAUUUUCAUGGCUUACAUACUCAGUACAUUUUUCGUACUGACGCCCUAUUUCACAGGUCCUGCAUUUCAAGCCCACAGGUGCAGGUAGGAAAGCUGACAAUCCCCCUUCUUAGGAUCCCUGAUCAGCAAAAGUUGGCAUGCUCCACUUGAUCCGGAGCUACUUUUGAUUUUUGUACGAUAUGUAUAUAUAUAUAUAUAUAUAUACAUAUAGUGGGUAUGACGUGGCUCACGUCCCAUCUUUGUACAAUUAUGUUUCCAUUAGAGGCAUGUAGACAGUAUGUCUAGUUGGGUUGCAUGUGGCCUUGUCGGCUUUCAGUUUUAGAUGUAUAGUUGUCUAUAGCAGCCUUGCCGGCUCGCCCACUGUAUUCUGCAUGUAUACGUACAUAUGCCUUAUUAGCAGGUCUCCUUCAUGUAUGUUAUUUUCGUAAUUCAGCAAAUGUUAUUCAGGUUCAUAUCUUAGAUGCACGCUUAGGGGUGUUUGACAGGUAGGACUCGGACACCCGUCGUGGCCCAUCGGUUUGGGUCGUGACAAUCCUCCAACUCUGCCCUAUUGAAAGAUGAAGGUUGGAGCCUCCCGAACCUCUCCAAUCUCCUCUGCUCAUCAUCAGUCAGAAUAGGGACAACAUGGGCCUGAGCAGUUACAAUCGGCUUGGCUGGUAGUGCCCCCAGUGUUUGGAGUCCCUACAUGACCUACUAUAGUGUGCGGGCGGCGGGACUUUGAGUACCUCCCCGGGCCUGAGAAGUGGCUUCUAUAGCCAAAAUAGGCACCACCUAAGGAAGACUGGUGAACACGGUCUGAAUCUAAGCUAAGGCUUCUUGAAGGCCUGGAAUCACAAUGGGCAUAACUGGUACCUGAGCUGGCCUCACUGUUUCCUCCUCAACUAUAACCUGCUCCUAAACUAAGGCAACUGGUGGAUCUUUAAAUAUUGCCCUAACUGAUGUAUGAGUUGCACCUCUGCCCCUACCGCGGCCUCUACCGCGACCUCGAUCCCUCGCGGCCAUAACUGGUGGUACUAUUGGCUGUCCAUCUUGUCCAAUAGUACGUGUCCUCACCAUCUGUGAGAGAAGAGAAUAACAUAAUUUUAAUUACCAUAAUGAGAAUGUAAAAAUUUCUUAAGGGGUCGGCAGCCUCUCAAAAAUAAGUACAGAAAUCUCCAUACCGAUUCGCAAGACCUUAAUAAACUUAGUCAUGACUUGUGAGACCUAUGUAACCCAGGCUCUGAUAGCAACUUGUCACAACUCAAAACCUAACCUGUCAUGAUGAAGCCUAUCAUGGUACUACGCAAUCCAACAUUUCUAAAAUAUUCCCAACAUUCAACAGUAAAUGAGUCAAAGUAGUUUUAAAUACCAAAAAGUCUUCAAAUGCGGGGUUGAAACCCAAUACCCAAAUGCGAAAAAAAACUCCCAAUUCGGGGUUUCACUAAGCCCAUGAGCAUAUAUACAUAACUAGUCUAGAAAAGUAAUUUCUAUGAAUGUUUUGAUCUAAAUAAAAUAAAAGAAAAGAUAAGGAAGGAUAAACAAGGACUGCAAAUGUCGGGCAGCUACCCCGAAGUCUCCAAUGAUCAUCUGUGUAAAAUAUCAACACCCACUGUGUCCAGAAACACCUGGAUAUGCACAAGAAGUGCAGGAUGUAGCGUAAGUACAACCAACUGAGUAAGUAAUAAGACUAACUAAAGAACUAAAGACAAUGAAGAAAUUGUUCCACAAAAUGGACCAAGUCACAAUUCCUAUGGUGCACGCCCACACGCCAUCACCUAGCAUGUGUGUUACCUCCAAACCAAUCACAUAACACAUAAUCCGGGGUUUCAUACCCUCAGAACCAGAUUUAGAACUGUUACUUACCUUAAUCCGAGCAAAAACUCUACUUUAAUGUGUCGUUGCCUCACAAAUCAACCUCCAAAUGUCUCGAAUAUAACCACAAGCAGUACGAUGAAAUCAAUACAGGCUAAAGGAAUCAAUUCCACAAGAAAAUAUAAAAUUAUGAAUCAAAAUUCAAAAUCGACUUCAAGUCGGCCCUCGGGACCACGUUUCGAAAUCCACUAAAACUAACAAAACCCGAAAGCUCAUUCAAUCACGAGUCUAGUCAAUAGGGAAAUAUAGUUAUUGAAGAAAUUUAACCAUAAGUGACUUAACUCAAGAAUCCCUUUGAAAUCACUCUCAAAAAUUGCCCAAUUCCGAGUUCAAAAUGUUAAAAUAAAACCAAAAUCACAAACCAUAGCAUUUAUAUGUUCUGCCCAGUCAAACCACACCUGCCUUCCCAAAAUUCGCUUAUUCGGUCCCGCUUUUGUGGUGAAAGUUCCGCACCUGCGGAAGACACUUAACUCACCAGUGCUCGCACCUGCACUCCAGGUCUCACACCUGAGGCACUUCUACAGCCCAUGAUCUGCUUAUGCCGAAACAACCUACAAACCUCAACUCCUUUACACUCCCCUUCUGCGCCCUCUUCACCGCAUCUACGGCCUCGCGAGUGUAGAAAGAACCUUGCACCUGCGACUUUUGCCAUUUACUCCUUGCAUGUAUCUAUGGGCGCGCACCUGUGGUUCCUAAUCCACACUUGCGAUUACACCAGCAGUCCUCAAACUUCAGCACCCCUUCAACUUCAAAACAUGAUCCAUUAACAACCCGAAAUCAACUCGAGGCCCUCGGGACCUCAACCAAACAUACUAACAAGUCUUAAAAUAUCAUACGAACUUGGUCGAAUCCUCAAAACACCUCAAAAAAUAUCAAAAACAUGAAUCUCUAUCUAUGAACUUUGAAAUUUUAAAAUUCUAGAAGCGAUGCCGAAACCUAUCAAAUCAUAUCUGAUUGACCGGUCAAAAAUGACACCACGAACCUACUCCAACUUCUGGAAUCUCAAUCCGACCCUGAUAUCAAAAAGUCCACUCCCAGUCAAACUUCCCAAAAAUUCAACUUUCUCCAUUUCAAGCCUAAUUCCACAAUGGACCUCCAAAUCACAGUCCGAACAUAUUUCUAAGUCCAAAAUCACCCAAAGGAGCUAACAGAGCCAUCAAAAUUCAAAUCCAGGAUCCUUUACAUAUACGUCAUUAUCCGAUCAAUUUCUCCAACUUAAGCUUUCCAUUAUGAGGCUAAGUGUUUUAAUUCAUUCUGAAAUCUCUCCGGACCCGAACCAACUAACCCGUUAACUUAUAUAAUAGCUAUAAAGCACAUAAGGAGUAGACAAUAGGAGAACGGGGUUACAACUCUCGAAACAACCGGCCAGAUCGUUAUAAUAUUUAUGUUUGGGUAAACUUAAAUUCAUACCAUGGUUUACAUGUACUAUUUGAAUUAAACAGGUUUGCCUGAUUAUUUGAAUUUGUGAGUGAGAGUGAGCCUAGAAUAAAUACAUAAAUUGAGUCCCUUACUUGAGAUUUUUUGAAAUAUUUGAAGAUGGUAGUUCCAUGUCUUCUCGACUAGCACGUAUCUUUGUAAGUGAGAGAGUUUAUCUAUUCUUUUGGGAUCGGGUCAUUCGCCUCAACAGGAUUACAAACCACUCUUAUGGGAUUGGUCUAUUCUUCGCGAUAGUGUCGUAAAUUAAUAUUAUGGAUUCGGGUCAUUCGCCUAAGCAGUAUUGUGUAACACUAUUCUUAUAGGAUCAGACCGUUCACCUAGGCAGACUCGUGUGUAAUACUUGAGGUUUGAUUUGGUAUUGGUAUCAGUUGAUCUUGUUCCUUCGAUGUAGGUUAUGGAAUUCUAGUGAUUUCGUAAUAAUUCAUGUUUGAAAAAUUAUUAUUAAUGUUUAUCUGUCUCAUUGUAACUUGUUAUGUUCCGUACAUAUCUACUUUGUGUACUUUAUUAUCUGACCACUAGUAAGUAUCAAAGUUGACCCAUCAUCACUACUUCUUCGAGGUUAGACUAGAUACUUGCUGGGUACGUGUUGAUUUACAUACUCAUACUACACUUUUGUACUAAUUGUGUAGGUACUGAGAGAGGUACUUCAGGUGGUCAUUCGGGCAUGUAGAUGAACUAUUCCAGGGACUUAGUAGUGAGCCGCUCUCCUUGCUUCAAUCUGAAGCACCCAGAGUCUCCUUCUUAUCAUGUUUAUUAUUUAUGUCUACUUUAUUUCAAACAGUAGUUGUAGUGAUUUUGUAUAUUGUACUAGAUUACUCAUGCACCUGUGACACCGAAUUUUAGGGGUUUCUAGUAGAUGCUCACAGUUGUAACAAAUAUUAUUAUCACUUCUCUUUGUGUAUUAUUCAUACUCGGUGAAUUGGUAAAGAAGAACAUAUAUUUCUGUGACCUCUUAUGGGAUUUGGGUCGUCACACCAAUCCAAGGAUGUCAUCCUCAAUUCUAAGGAUGUCAUCCAUGGAAAGAGGCACGUGCAAGAAAUUGAUUCAAGAGCUAGGGAUGUCAUCCGGAUGACAUUCCUGAGAUUUUACAAGCAUAACUUCCUGGAAAUAAGCACGACUUUUCAGUGGAAGAGGGAACCAUUCUUGUUCGAAGAACACCAACUUUAAUAUUGGCUUUGUUUUAGUUUUAAAAAGUAUUUCUUUGAUUGUAGGAUAGUAUUUUUCUUUUUUAUCUUUUCUCCACAAUGAAGUAAUUUUCUGUGGUUGAGAUACUAGAUGAAGCUAUAAAUGUAUUAUAAUAAAUAUCUUAGAUUUAUUAUUUUCAUAUGUUGAGAUAUUCUCUUUAUCAUCUUUGUUANNNNNCCAAAAUCUUUAUCUUGUUAUUUUAUUUCUUAUUCGGGAGAAAAGAAAGAAUUAAGCUAGUCUAUUUCUUUAGCAAAGGCUAAUCGAAAGAGGCUUUCUCACUUGGUGCACUCAACUAAGAUAAUUUUUGUUUGAGGACAUUACUUUAAUUGGUUAACUACACUAAUCGAAAGAUGUAUUAUUAGGCAAUUAUUGAUUAAUUCCACUAAUUGUCAAUAAAUUGACAACACUAAGUGCGAGAGGAGCUAUUUAUACACAAUUAUUCUUUAAACAAGGUCAUUGUUUAACCAUUAUUAAUUACAUUAAACGAAAGAGGUGUUAUUCAUUGGAUAGUUUUAUUUGAUUUGGUUGAAUUAGAAAUAAGAGAUCAUUUAAUUACAUAUAGAGAUAAUAAUAAAAUUUUGGUUUUAUCUUGUAUAUUCACAAUAUCUCAACUGCUAUCUUUUAUUUUAAAACUAUAAAUAUUUAUUGCUGUAUUUUACUAUUUUUUCAACAACUCUCUCUUUACCAAUUUGAUUAUCUCAAAUAGUGACAAAGAUAAUACAAAUCUAUAUCCUAGGUGGUUCCAAUUUCUGUAGUACGAUAUUUUAAACUUUACUAUAAUUUGACAAAGUAUGAGCAGAAAAUCAUAUAUGCUUAGAGCUCAUCAAAUUUUUGGCGGCGACGGAGCGAAUUGGUAAACAUCUACUUCAGAUUAAUUGUAUUGCCACUACUUUGACAUUUUUCUUUCUACUGCUUCAUGUCUUUUGUUUUCUAGUUCCUGACAAGUGCUAGGGAACAAAACUAAAAAAUAUUUUCAAAAAAGGGGAUCCUGAAGCUCAACUCAUUCCGUGUACUUUCAAAAUGAAUUUCAACCAACAAAGUAAAUAUUACAACUCAUAUUCACGUACGUUAGUUCAUUCCAUAAGGUAAUCAAUGUAAUCCAUGAAGAUAUUAUCUUUAAGAUGAUAAGAAGUUAAUCCUAUUGGUCUUAAAUGAUACAAAGGUGUAUAAGGGUGAUUAACAAGUAUUAGAAGUUAAACGAAUCAAGGGUAUUAUCAGCCAUAUUUUUGGGUAAACCUAGAGGUGCUUAAUACACUCAAGAGUUCGUAUUUUAAGGUAUUUGAAAGAUAUAAUAUCCGUAUCAUAAGUGUCGAAGUCAAAUGAGUUAUGAAACAAAAGUCGACAAAAGUUGUCGCAACUUAGGUUCAUAAUGUUACUUAAACAUUAGGUCAAAUGUUACUAAGCUUUUCUCCCAAUUUACAAGGAAUUACGGGGUGAUCUGCCCACCAAAUUAAAGAUCUAUGAGCCUAGUUUCCAAUGCGUUAAACCUUUUUUCAAUACCAUCUCUGAGUAUAGAGAUAUUUAUAUUUUUCCUAGCCUGCACAGAUUGGUAGGUGACAAGUAGGUGCAUCACCUAUUUGCCAAAAUGAGAGGACAAAAUUAAAAGCCCCAAAGUCGGCCGAGAGGGGACUUUUAAGGGAUUAUCAACUCAGUUAUUUCACCUAUAUUUCAGACCUUCAAAACCAAAUUGAACCCCUGCAACUCCUCCCCAAAAAAAUCCCACACAAACCCUAAUCGAUUUUCCCUCUCUUUCAAGUUCUAAUUGGAGGUAAAACUUAGAGUUUAAAGAACCAAGGGAAGGGCUGAUUUAUCCAACAAGUAAGGUAAGAUUACUACUCUCUUUCAUACAUUUUUUCUGCUGUGAAUUCAUGGAAAUUCGUUCUAUACAUGUAAGAACUCAUAGGACGGUGAUCGGAAGUCGUGAGUUCCAGUUAUUCACUUGUAGCGGACUAUUUUGUGUUGCUGUUGGGCUGCGUGUUUUACUACUAUUUUUGGAGUUUUGGAGGCUUAAGGGUGUGGAGAAACACCAUAUAGAUGUAGGGUUGUGGACUGGCAGUUCUUCAUAACAUUUCUGGGUCGUUUGACACGACAACGGUUGUCGUCGUAUGUAUGAACUGGUUAGGUUGUGCGUGGACUAUUUUGGGAGGCUCAAUAUGAUUAUUAUUGAUGUUGUUUGGGCUAUUUGGUAAUUUUUUGAAUUGUGUGAAUUCAUAUAUAUAGGGUAGGUGCUUUCUGUUUUAUCGUAAAAUAGGUUGUGGUCGAUACAUAAUAGUUAUAAUGUUUAAAUGAUAACGAUAGUAUCGUUUCUCUUAUUGUAGACUAAGGAGUCAUGACAAUUGCAUAGCGUGAGAUUGGGGAAGUAUAUACAAGGUAUGUGAGGCUAUCCCUUUCCUUAUUUUGCACGACUCUGGUCGUACAUAAUGUAAUGAACGAGCUUCCAAAUAUACUCUACUCUUAGAAGCUAGCAGUACUUACAUUGUUUCCCCUCUUAUGGAACGAUUGAUGUUGAUGUUGCUUCUCUUAUUCUUAUGUUAUCAAUGUUGUUGGUACUUUCUGAUUCUUAUAAGGUUCAUAGUGAAGAUUUAGUCCUAAUAACGUGUACAGAGGAUACCAACCUUACGUCACUAUGAAAGGUUUAGAACGUGAUUCUAUGAGUGGAGCAUGAAUUAUAUAUAUUUAUCUAUUUUACUCUAAUGAGCGCACUAUAGUCGGCCGGGUAUGACACCUAUUGUGCAACCACUGAUCAGUUUGGCUUUACCAAGCUCCACGUGGCCGAGUACGAUACUACCGAGCCUUAUGAUAGUCGGGUACUUUUUUUUACCAAGCCUAUUACGGCCAGGUACGAUAUGAUGAUGAUGAUGCCCACAGAGGCGUAUGUUUUAAAAGUUUAUGUAUAUAUACAUAUGUAUUAUACAUUUCAUAUCAGUAGCCCUCAGAGGUACGCAGUCGUUACAAGUUGUAUAUUCUCUAUCCCGGCUUACAUUAUUGUUUCUACUUAUGGUUCCCUACCUUACAUACUCAGUACUUUAUUCGUACUGAAGUUCUUUAUUUGUGGACGCUGCAUGUCGUGCUGCAGGUCUUGAUAGACAUGCUGGUGUAGCUCCGCCACCACAGUAUGUUGUCCAAUUCAGCGGUGAUUGGCGAGAUCCCUUCUCCGGACUUGUCGUGGUCUUGGUAUGCAUUUUUGUUAUAGACAUUAUGGGUAUGUCAAACCUGUUCUAGCUAUGUUACAACACUUAUGUUCCUUUAGAGGCUCAUAGAUAGGUGUCGACUCGUGUAUAGUUUGGUAUGCCUUGUUGGCUGGUUUGUGUUGUAUAGUCUUUCAUGGUAGCGUGGUAGCUCGUACCUUAUAAAUAGUUUCUUGAUUGUCUGGUCAUCCCAUAUUAUGUAUGUUCAUGACAUCAUAUUUUAUUGUUGGUUGUCAAUGAUCCAUGUCUACCAUUUAUAUUAAUCUCGUCAGCCGUAAAAGAUAAUAAAGAAGGUUAGAUAAAAUAUACGUUAGUGCUCGGCAAGUAUGGCCGGGUGCUAGUCAUGGCCCUCCAGUUUGAGUUGUGACAAACUUGGUAUCAGAGCAAGUUUGUCCUAGGGAUUGUCUAUGAGUCAUGUCUAGUAGAGUCUUGAUUAUGGAUGUGUAGCACACCACAUUUAUAAUUAGGAGGCUACAUGACAUCUAGGGUUGUUACCUUCUUCCUAAAUCUAGAUCGUGCGUAGAGUUGAGUCGUAAGUGUUCCUCUCUAAUAGUCACAUUUUUUCUAUCAGCGAUGCCUUCGACUAGGAAGCAAACAAUUAGUAGACAGCUUGAUACAGCUGCGGGAGAGGGUACCAUUCAGGUGCCCCAAGCUAGAGUAGGCCAAAGUGAGGCUCAGAGUGAGAUGCCGUCUCAUACCUCAUCUACGUAGUCUCCUCCAGAGGAAAUUAGGAGGCACCCAGCUCCACCUGUUCCUCCGUCUGGAACUACAGACCAGGAUAUGCGGAAUGCGGUGCAGUUGUUGACUAGCUUCGUAGCUGCUCAUGCUCAGAGGAAGAAUAUCGGUGUUGUUGAUAAACCAGUUAGUACGAGAGUUUGUGAUUUUUUUAAUCUAGACCCUCCAGUGUUUAACGGAUCAGACCCUAAGGAGGAAUCGUAGACUUUUAUUGAUCAGUUUCAUCGUACAUUGUGGGUUAUGCAAGCUAGUGAUACAGAGACAGUAGAGUUGGCUUCUUAUCGGCUACGGGAUUUAGUGGUUCUCUGGUAUUAUAGUUGGGAGAGAUCUAGGGGUCCGAACGCUCCUCCAGCUGUGUGGAAGGAUUUUUCUGAGGACUUUCUUCGUCACUACUUGCCAGUUGAGAUACGAGUAGCUAAAGCUGAUAAGUUCUUGAACCUUAGAAAAGGUAAUAUGAGUAUGCGAGAGUACAGUAUGCAGUUUGAUUCUUUAGCAAGGUAUUCUCCCCAUAUGGUGGCCGAGAUGAGUGAUAGGGUGCAUCUGUUUGUGAAUGGGUUGGGACCAUAUCUGAUAAAUGAGUGCACGAUAGCCUCCUUGGUGGAGGACAUGGAUAUUUCUCGUAUUCAGACUUAUGCCCAGACCCUAGGGAGAUAGGGAGCAGGAUAGGGGCCAGCAUAAGAGGGUGAGAAUUACAGGGUAUUCUGAUGAUUUCAGAGACAGCGUCAGGCCCCAGUCUUUGAGGAGUUCGGCGCCUCCUGUAGCUAGUGCUCCUCCACAGUUUUAGAGGCCUUGAUAUGAUCGAUUUACCUAUUCUGGUCCAGGUCAGAGUUCAUGGGCAUCAGGCUUGCAACAUCACAGGGAUACUAGUCAGACGAGAACCCCAACACCACGUUGUGAUCAGUGCAGAAAGGCUCGCUUUAGACUGUGCCAUCGAGGUUCUAAUGCGUGCUAUUCUUGCAGACAACCUGUCCAUAUUAUGUGGAAUUGUCCUAACAGAGGAGGUAGUGGUAUGGCUCAGCCGACUGGAUUUGUGUCUGGUUUUUCCUCAUCAGUUCGACCUCCAGCACGGGGUUUUCAUUAGUCGACAGGUCAUGGUAGAGGUAGAGGUGCAGUGUCGAGUUUGAAAGGUGCUCAAAAUCAAACCUAUGCUCUAGUAGGUCGACAGGAUCUCAAGUCAUCUCCAGAUGUUGUUACGGGUAUAUUGUUUGUGUUUUCUUAUGAUGUAUAUGCGUUGAUUAAUCCGAGAUCUACAUUACCGUAUGUUACACCCUUUGUGGCUAAUAAGUUUGGCGUUGAACCGAAAUUGAUAAGUAAACCCCUUGUGGUAUCUACUCCGAUAGGAGAUUCUNNNNNNNNNNNNNNNNNNNNNNNNNNNNNNNNNNNNNNNNNNNNNNNNNNNNNNNNNNNNNNNNNNNNNNNNNNNNNNNNNNNNNNNNNNNNNNNNNNNNNNNNNNNNNNNNNNNNNNNNNNNNNNNNNNNNNNNNNNNNNNNNNNNNNNNNNNNNNNNNNNNNNNNNNNNNNNNNNNNNNNNNNNNNNNNNNNNNNNNNNNNNNNNNNNNNNNNNNNNNNNNNNNNNNNNNNNNNNNNNNNNNNNNNNNNNNNNNNNNNNNNNNNNNNNNNNNNNNNNNNNNNNNNNNNNNNNNNNNNNNNNNNNNNNNNNNNNNNNNNNNNNNNNNNNNNNNNNNNNNNNNNNNNNNNNNNNNNNNNNNNNNNNNNNNNNNNNNNNNNNNNNNNNNNNNNNNNNNNNNNNNNNNNNNNNNNNNNNNNNNNNNNNNNNNNNNNNNNNNNNNNNNNNNNNNNNNNNNNNNNNNNNNNNNNNNNNNNNNNNNNNNNNNNNNNNNNNNNNNNNNNNNNNNNNNNNNNNNNNNNNNNNNNNNNNNNNNNNNNNNNNNNNNNNNNNNNNNNNNNNNNNNNNNNNNNNNNNNNNNNNNNNNNNNNNNNNNNNNNNNNNNNNNNNNNNNNNNNNNNNNNNNNNNNNNNNNNNNNNNNNNNNNNNNNNNNNNNNNNNNNNNNNNNNNNNNNNNNNNNNNNNNNNNNNNNNNNNNNNNNNNNNNNNNNNNNNNNNNNNNNNNNNNNNNNNNNNNNNNNNNNNNNNNNNNNNNNNNNNNNNNNNNNNNNNNNNNNNNNNNNNNNNNNNNNNNNNNNNNNNNNNNNNNNNNNNNNNNNNNNNNNNNNNNNNNNNNNNNNNNNNNNNNNNNNNNNNNNNNNNNNNNNNNNNNNNNNNNNNNNNNNNNNNNNNNNNNNNNNNNNNNNNNNNNNNNNNNNNNNNNNNNNNNNNNNNNNNNNNNNNNNNNNNNNNNNNNNNNNNNNNNNNNNNNNNNNNNNNNNNNNNNNNNNNNNNNNNNNNNNNNNNNNNNNNNNNNNNNNNNNNNNNNNNNNNNNNNNNNNNNNNNNNNNNNNNNNNNNNNNNNNNNNNNNNNNNNNNNNNNNNNNNNNNNNNNNNNNNNNNNNNNNNNNNNNNNNNNNNNNNNNNNNNNNNNNNNNNNNNNNNNNNNNNNNNNNNNNNNNNNNNNNNNNNNNNNNNNNNNNNNNNNNNNNNNNNNNNNNNNNNNNNNNNNNNNNNNNNNNNNNNNNNNNNNNNNNNNNNNNNNNNNNNNNNNNNNNNNNNNNNNNNNNNNNNNNNNNNNNNNNNNNNNNNNNNNNNNNNNNNNNNNNNNNNNNNNNNNNNNNNNNNNNNNNNNNNNNNNNNNNNNNNNNNNNNNNNNNNNNNNNNNNNNNNNNNNNNNNNNNNNNNNNNNNNNNNNNNNNGUUAUAUUUAUCAUCUCGUUCGCGUUAGGGAUGCAGAGGUGAAGGCGCCUACUCUACAAUCAAUCCCCGGGGUCAAUGAAUUUCCAGAUGUUUUCCCAGAUGAACUACCAGGCCUUCCUCUUGAAAGGGAGAUUGAGUUUAGCAUUGAUGUGUUUCCUAACACUCAACCGAUCUCUAUCCCUCCAUACAGAAUGGCCCCGGUAGAGUUGCAAGAGUUGAAGGCGCAGUUGAAGGACUUGCUGGAUAAGGGCUUCAUUAGGCCUAGCACUUCACCUUGGGGUGCACCUAUUUUGUUCAUGCAGAAGAAAGACGGGUCAUUAAGGAUGUGUAUUGAUUAUCGACAGCCGAAUAAGUUUACUAUAAGGAACAAGUAUCCACUUCCAAGGAUUGACGAUCUUUUUAACCAACUCCAGGGUGCCAAGUAUUUCUCCAAGAUUUUCUUACGUUUAGGGUAUCAUCAGGUGAGGGUUAAGGAAAAAGGAUGUUCCAAAGACAGCCUUCUGGACAAGAUAUGGGCACUUUGAGUUCUUGGUGAUGUCGUUCGGGCUAAAAAAUGCCCCAGAAGCUAUUAUGAAUCUCAUGAAUACUGUAUUCAGGCCCUAUCUUGAUGUGUUCGUGAUUGUAUUCAUUGAUGACAUUCUGGUGUAUUCUCGUUCAGAGGCGGAAUAUGCAGGCCACUUGCAGAUAGUAUUAUAGAUGCUUUAGGAUCGUAAGUUAUAUGCUAAUCUCUGCAAAUGUGAAUUCUGGCUUAACUUAGUAGCAUUCCUUGGCCAUGUGAUAUCUGACGAGGGUAUUAGUGUCAAUGCUCAAAAGAUCGAUGCAGUAAAGAAUUGGCCGAGACCUACAAUACUAUCAGAAGUCUGCAGCUUCCUGGGGCUAGCAGGAUAUUAUAGGCGGUUUGUAGAAGGGUUUUCCUCUAUAUUAGUACCAGUGACAAAGUUAACAUAGAAAGCUACCAAGUUCCAGUGGUCUAACCCUUGUGAACGUAGUUUUCUGGAGCUGAAGACUCGAUUGAUAUCCGCACUAGUGCUCACUCUUCCUAAAGAUACAGAAGGUUAUGUGGUAUAUUGUGAUGCCUCAGGUAUAGGUUUGGGGUGAGUAUUGAUGUAGGAAGGUGAUUACUUAUGCAUCAAGACAAUUGAAGAAACAUGAAAAGAAUUAUCCAACCCAUGAUUUGGAAUGGGCUAUAGUAAUAUAUGCUUUGAAGAUAUGGGGGCACUACUUAUACAACGUCCAUGUUAACAUCUACACAGAUCACAAGAGUUUACAAUACAUCUUCAAUCAGAAGGAGUUGAUUUUGAGGCAGCGUAGGUGGCUUGAAUUACUAAAAGACUACGAUGUCGAGAUAUUGUAUCAUUCUGGUAAAGCCAAUGUUGUGGCAGACAAUCUUAGCCAUAAGUCAAUGGGAAGCUUAGUACAUAUUGAGGCAGGUAGGUGGGGGUUGACUAAAGAUCUUCAUCAGCUAGCCAAUAUGAGAAUCAGAUUGUUAGACUCUGAUGAUGGAGCUGCUACGGUACAGAAUACAUCAGAAUCACUUUGAUAGCCGAGGUAAAAGCACGACAAUAUGAAGAUCCUAUCUUAGUAUGAUUGAGAGAGAGCAUUCAGCAAUGUAAAAUUACGGCUUUUGAUAUCGGAGGAGAUGGGUCACUGAGAUACCAGGGCCGAUUAUGUGUGUCUAAUGUGGCAGGGUUGCGAGAGAAGAUUAUGAAUGAGAUUCAUCAAUCCCGAUAUUCUAUCCAUCCCGGCUCGACAAAUAUGUAUCAUGAUGUCAAGGAGCAGUAUCGGUGGGAUAACAUGAAGAAGUCCAUAGCAGAAUUUGUAACCCAGUGUCCCAAUUGUCAACAAGUAAAGAUAGAACAUUAUAAACCCGGUGGAUUACUUCAGAAUAUAGAGAUUCUGACCUGGAAAUGGGAAGUGAUUAAUAUGGACUUCAUUAUUGUAUUACCUCGCUCUUAUCAUAAGUUUGACUCCAUCUGGGUAAUAAUUGAUCAACUUACAAAAUAUGCCCAUUUUAUGCCAUUUAAGACAACUUACACGACUGAAGAUUAUGCGAAGUUGUAUAUCAAGGAGAUUGUUAGGCUUCAUGGUGUGCUGGUAUCUAUUAUAUCAGACCGAGGAGCUCAAUUUAUGGCUAACUUUUGGAGGUCUUUUCAGAAGGGUUUAGGCACACAAGUGAAUCUCAGCAGUGCAUUUCAUCCGCAGACUGACAGGCUGAACGUACCAUUCAGACACUGGAAGAUAUUCUACGAGCAUGUGUUCUAGAUUUUAAGGGGAAUUGGGAUGACCAUCUUCCACUCAUAGAAUUCGCAUACAAUAAUAGCUACCAUUCCAGUAUUAAAAUGGCGCUAUAUGAGGCACUAUACGGGAGGAAAUGUAGAUCACCAGCCGGAUGGUUCGAAGUCGGUGAAACAAAAUUAUAUGGGCCAUAUUUGAUUCACCAAGCCAUUGAGAAUGUGAAAGUGAUACAGGAGCGAUUAAGGACGGCACAAAGCAGGCAAAAGUCUUAUUUCUAUGUCCGACGUUGUGAUAUGGAGUUUGAGGUAUGUGAUUGGGUUUUCCUGAGGAUUUCACCAAUGAAGGGUGUUAUGCGUUUCGGGAUGAAAGGUAAGCUGAGUCCAAAGUAUAUCGGGCCGUAUAAAAUUCUUCGACGAAUUGGACAGGUUGCUUAUAAAUUAGAAUUGCCAUCGAAUUGGAAUUUGUCCAUCAGGUAUUCUAUGUAUCUAUAUUGAGGAAAUGUAUUGGAGACCCUUCUUGAGUCGUCCCUAUCAAAUAUGUACAAGUUACAGAGGAUUUAUCAUAUGAAGAAGUGCCAGUGGCUAUAGUAGAUCGACAAGCCCGCAAGCUGAGAACAAAAGAUAUAACUUCCGUCAAAGUAUUGUGGAGGAACAAGAAUAUGGAAAGCAGAAGAGGAGAUGAAGUCUAAAUACCCUUACCUAUUUUAGAAUGAAGAUAACAAGGAUGCUGGCGGAACGCAGGAUACAUUAGAAGGUGAAACGUCUCUAUGAGGUAAGCAAUAACUUGACAAUACUCUUCCUUAAUACAAAAUGGUGAUAUGCAGAUAAUGUACAUAUCCAUAAUGCUUUAUGUAGCAUUGUGAGGCCAUAAAUUGGGCUUAAAUACUUGCAAGCUUUGCUAGUGACCAUUUUAUAGGGGAAAAUUGACCGAAAAUUUCCGUUGAAAUCCAGGAUGAUUUGGACUCCCCAUAAACCCUUACAUUCGAGGACGAAUGUCCGUAAGGGAGGGAGGGUGUUACAACCCAUAUUCACAUACGUUAGUUCAUGACAUACGGUAAUUGACGUAAAUCCAUGAAGAGAUUAUCUUUAAGAUGAUAAGAAGUUAAUCCUAUUGGUCUUAAAUGAUACAAAGGUAUACAAGGGUGGUUAACAAGUAUUAGAAGUUAAAUGAAUCAAGGAUGUUGUCAGCCGUAAUUUUGGGUAAACCUAGAGGUUCUUUAUACACUCAAGAGGUCGUGUUUUAAGGUAUUUGAAUCAUAUAAUAUCUGUAUCAUAAGUCUUGAAGUCAAACGAGUUAUGAAAUAAAAGUCGUCAAAAGUUGUCGCAACUUAGGUUCAUAAUUUUACUUAAACAUUAGGUCAAAUGUUACUAAGCUUUUAUCCCAAUUUAAAAGGCAUUACAGAGUGAUCUACCUACCAAAUUAAAGAUCUAUGAGUCUAGUUUCCAACUCAGUGUACCGUUAGUCAAUACGAUCUACGAGUAUAUAGAUAUUUGUAUUUUUGCAAGACUGCACAGAUUGCUAGGUGACAAGUAGGUGCAUCACCUACUUGCCAAAAUGAGAGGACAAAAUUAAAAGUCCCAAAUUUGGCCAAGAGGGGACUUUUAAGGGAUUAUCAACUCAGUUAUUUCAUACUUCAAAACCAAAUUGAACACUUGCAACUCCUACCCAAAAAACUCCCACACAAACCCUAAUCGAUUUUCCCUCUCUUUCAAGUUCUAAUUGGGGGUAAAACGUAGAGUUUGAAGAACCAAGGGAAGGGCUGAGUUAUCGAACAAGUAAGGUAAGUUUACUGAUCUCUUUCAUACAUUUUUUCUGCUAUGAAUUCAUGGAAAUUCGUUCUAUAAAUAUAAGAACUCACGGGACGGUGAUCGGAAGCGGUGAGUUCGAGUUAUUCACUUGUAGCAUACUGUUUUGUGGAUUGUUUUGUGUUGAUGUUGGGUUGCAUGUUUUACUACUGUUUUGCGGAGUUUUGGAAGAGGAAGGGUGUGGAGAAACACCAUAUAGAUGUAGAGAUGUGGGCUGGUAGUUCUUCGUAAGAUUUCCAGGUCGUUUGACACGACUACGGUGGCCGUCGUAUGUAUGAAGUGCUUAGGUUGUACGUGGACAGUUUUGGGAGGCUCAAUAUGAUUAUUAUUGAUGUUGUUUGGGCUGUUUGGUGAUUGUUUUGAAUUGUGUGAAGUCAUAUAUAUAGGGGAGGUGCUGUCCAUUUCAUCGUAAAAUAGGUUGUGGUCGAUACAUAGUAGUUAUGACGCUUAAAUGAUAACGAUAGUAUUGUUUCUCUUAUUGCAGACUAAGGAGUAGUGACAAUUGCAUAGCUUGAGAUAGGGGAAGUAUAUACAAUGUAUGUGAGGCUAUACCUUUCCUUCUUUUGCACGACUCCGAUCAUACAUAAUGUAAUGAACGAGCUUCCAAAGAUACUCUACUCUUAGAAUCUAGCAGUACUUACAUUGUUUCCCCUCUUAUGGAGUGAUUGAUGUUGAUGUUGCUUCUCUUAGUCUUAUGUUAUCAGUGUUGUUGGUACUUCCUAAUUCUUAUAAGGCUCAUAGUGAAGAGUUAGUCCUAAUAACAUGUACAGAGGAUACUGACCAUAUGUCACUCCAAAAGGUUUAUAACGUCAUUCUAUGAGCCGAGCAUGAAUUAUAUAUAUGUAUCUACUUUACUUUAUCGAUCCGCGCUAUAGUUGGACGGGUACGGUACCUAUUGUGCAACCAUUGAUCAGUUGGGAUUUAUUGAGCUCCACGUGGUCGGGUACGAUACUACCGAGCCUUAUGAAGGCCGGGUACAUUUUUUUUAACGAGCCUAUUACGGCCGGGUACGAUAUGAUGAUGAUGCACACAGAGGCGUAUGUUUUAAAAAUGUAUGUAUAUAUACAUAUGUAUUAUGUAUUUCAUGUUAGUAGCCCUCAGAGGUAUGCAGAUGUUACAAGUUGUAUAUUCUCUAUCUCUUCUUACAUUACUGUUCGUACUUAUGGUUCCCUACCUUAUAUACUUAGUACUUUAUUCAUACUAACGUUCUUUUAUUUGUGGACGUUGGAUGUCGUGCUGCAGGUCCUGAUAGAUAGGCAGGUGCAGCUCCCCCACCACAGUAGGUUGUCCAGUUCAACAGUGAUUGGCGAGAUCCCUUCUCCGGGCUUGCCGUGGUUUUGGUAUGCAUUUUUGUUAUAGACAUUAUGGGUAUGUCGGGCCCCUGUUCCGGCUAUGUUGCAGUAAUUAUGUUCCUUUAGAGGCUCAUAGACAGGUGUCAACCCAUGUUAUGUAUGUUCAUGCCAUCAUAUUUUAUUGUUGGUUGUCCAUGAUCCAAGUCUACCAUUUAUAUUGAUCUCAUCAGCCCUAAAAGAUAAUAAAGAAGGUUAAAUAAAAUGUACGUUGGUGUUCGGCAAGUAUGGUCGGGUACUAGUCAUGGCCUUCCAGUUUGGGUCGUGACAGUAAACUGCUUUUUGAGUUAGUAGAAGAAUAAUGUCAAAAGGCCAUCAUAUGUGACUAUGUGGAGGCAACCACCAAAGUUUUGAAUGGCAAACAAGUAACACAUUCUCCUAUACGGAUUCUAGGAGAAUGAAUGACCUUGAAUAAUUAAUUAUUGGUCAAAGGUUCGUUUAUUUUGAAUAUUGUGGUGGAAGUCACCUUAGUCAUGAAUGUCAACUAUGUAAGUCCUAUUCUUUUUAUUUAUCUUAUGAAAAAUUUAAUGAUGUUUCUAGUUCUUAUAUACUUAGUGAUUCUACUGAAAAUGACUGCAAUCCGAAGUGCAAUCAAUAUUCAAAAGGGAACCAAAAAUAUUGGGAUUAAAUCACCUCAAGAAGAGAAUGUAAACUUAUAAAAAGACGUGUAUAUUUUUAUAAGAAAUAGCGAUGAAAAAUAUUCACAGAAUCAUAAAGUCAUUACGGAUCUAACAAAAAAAUUAAAUUAAUCAGGAAUUAUGGCAAUCUCCUUAAAUUUUUGUGGGGAACUUUUAAAUGAAACUGCGUCUUGUGAAGAUGGACCAAUUGAUUAAUAAUAAGCUUUGUGAGAACGAAUCUACUACUCGUGGUGAAUAGCAUGAUCCAGUCAAUCAAGUUGAUAAUAAAGGUUUUGUUGAAUAUAUCUCAAUAGAUAAUGAGUCCUUACCCUUAUUCACAUAAAUUAAUUAAUUUGGAAGAAAAUGAGAAUGAAGAGGUCGUCAUACAAAAAAAUGACAUUUCCAAGGACCAUCAUUUUUCAAUUUCUUUUGAUCAUUACAAUUUUGUAGAUUUUGCUAUUGGAGACUUUUAGGAAAAUUCAAGGAAUGAUCCUCAUGAAAAAUUCAAUAUGGAGUUAAGGAUCACCAUGUACAGUUAUUUUUUCGCUCGAGAAAAGGCCGCAAAAGAGUGGGAUGUGAAAAAAUAUAUAUUGUGAUGUUCUUGGCCAAGUGCGGUCCAACAUGAACCCUAAGGAUAGAAAAACAAAGAGUGAUUCAAAAUUGGAGUUGGAGUUCACAAGCUCCAGAAAAAAAAAGAAAAACAUUUAGCGGAGCCCCUUUACCUCGUCUUGCUUUUAUAUUAUUUGUCAUCGGGAUAUGACAAUAUUUAAGUGAAGGCGUAGGUAGUAUAUAUUUGUAUUUAUUUAGCAUAACAUCUUUUGUAUACUUCCAUGGAUUUUUUUGUUCAGUUCUUUGCCAUUGUGGUAUAUUUUGAACUAAAUACUUUCUCGGAUUUUUAGUACAUAAGUCGACCAAAAACUGCAUUUUUCUUAGAAUGAGAUUUUGGAAAAUAGGAUUUAAUGGAGUAUCAUUCAUAUGUUAUAUAAAUAUCUUUUCAAUCUCAUAUUUAUUUAUUGGCGAUGAAAUUUAUAAUGUUUGUUGAAUCCCAAGAAUACUGUGUUGUUAGGUUAUGUUGCCAAGUUCUCCUGCUCAUUCGAAAAUCUAGAACUUGUCUUUAAUGUGAUUUGAGGCAAAAUUCUAUGAAGAUUUUAAGUUGAAAAAUAAAAGUAAGCCUUCCUUGUUGAACUAUGAAAUAAAUUAACCUACCUGUCACACCCAAAACUACCAACCGACCGACUGUGAGGGCACAUAACUCACUUGUUAGGCAAGUCAAGCAUAAUAAAAACAAAAUAUAAAUACUAAAUUAACAUAAAUGGUACAAAUCUAAGACUCAUUAAUAUAAAUAACAUCGUCGAUAUAUGAAAAAUUCCCCAAAACUAGUAAUACAGAGUCAUGAGCUCUAGAACAAAAAUACAAGUCAGAAAAUCUAAAUAACAACAGUGUAAAAAAUUAAAAGAGACACCAGGACUGUGGUCGAGAUGCAACUCUACCUCGUCUCUCGAAUGAUGACUCAACAACAAGCCUCAUCUACAAGUGGCUCAUACCAACACCUAGAUCUACACAAUUAAGUGCAAAGUAUAGUAUGAGUACAACCUACCCCAUAUACUCAGCAAGUAUCAUAACUAACCUCAGCGAGGUAAUAAAAAUAAGAAUUAUAAAUGAUACUCGCUAAUCUCCCGUGCAGUUCAUAAAUUCAAAAAGCAUAGAAUAAUAAUCUGAUCAAGUAAUGAAUCACAUAAAGAACCACCUUGGUGCACGCAAUUACUUAACGAACUCUAAUCAUUAAACAUUCAAGUUUAUAAAGAAGAUAUGGAAAUAAAUCAGGUGACCAACCAAGGAAGUUGCAAGUAAUGUCACGACCCCGGUUCGCCCUCCGUGAAACAUCGUGACGACACCUAGUCCUCUACUACUACAUAAGCCUAAAUUGCAGAAGGUAACCAAAAUGCGGAAUAAAAACAAAUUAAAACAGAAUGAAGAGUGAUAAAAACAGUGUUUGAAAGUGUUGCUCAGCAUAUACAGCACAACAUUCUCAGAAUCAAAUACACUAUCCCAAAAACCUGGAAACUCAUGGAACAACAAGCCUUUGGAUAUCUACAAUGUCUAACUCCAGAAUAUCUAACAAGGGAAAGAAAUACAGAAGGGAAAAUGUUUAAAAGCUAGAAUAGAAAGGGACUCCUCAGUCUGCGAACGCGGUAGAUAUACCUCGAAGUCUCUAGAGCAGUCGCUUCGCCUCACGGGUGAUAAGACUGAGUCGCAGUACCUGGAUCUUCGCAUGAAAAACAAGAGCAGAAGGGGCAUAAGUACACCACAGCGGUACUCAGUAAGUGCCAAGCCUAACCUCGGUCGGGUAGUGACGAGGAAGGUCAGGGCCCUACUGAAGUUAAAUAAAAUAUAAAGAUCAACAGUAUAGAAUAGAACAGUAUAAAUAAGCACAACAGUAAAAUAACACAGGAUGUACAGGACAAAAACAAAUAUACCGAAGUAAGGUAAACACAAAAAGGAAUUACAGCUCAGCACAAUAAUAACAAUCGGGUAUCUCCCAGGAUACCGUCCUAUAGUCCCAUAUGUACAUGUCCAAUGGAUCUCUUGGGAUCCCGUCCCGUAGUCUAACUCAUAGUGCGCGGGGAUCUACCGAAAAUUCCGUUCCGUAGUCCCGAAUGUAAAUACCCAGUACUGGGGGAAUCUACCGAGUGCAUUCUCAUCGUUCCAUAUAAUUGUGUAGGGGGAUCUACCAGAAUCCCACAUCCGUAGUCCCAAAAUAAACAGCCAAGGGGGAGCUACCGGAAUCCCACAUCCGUAGUCCCAAAAUAAAUACACACCAGCAUAGGAAAAAAUACAGAAAUGGCAAAAAUUUUCAUAUUAAGGCAUCAAGUGAUUCUAGCCUAACAUGUUGCACAGAAUUAAGGUAAGGCAGGUUAAGCAAAUAAGGCAAUUAAGUCACUUAGACAUGCUUUCCUAAGCUAACAAUAUGCUUAAUAGUGCAAGUAAUAGAGACAGAAAAGGAAAACAUGCUAGUAAUUACUUAAAGAAAACUGGAUUUCCAACAAUUAGCAGAAGUACGCACUCGUCAUCUCAUGUACAAGGCAUUUCAAUUACCCAAUAUACCAAUCCUAAGGGGAAGAUCCCCCACACAAGGUUAGACAAGCCACUUACCUCAAACCGGCUCAAAAUCAAUCUGAAACCAGGCUCUUGCCACGAGUACUCGACUAUAAAUGGCCCAAAUCUAUUCAAUUCAAUUUCAUAAUGUAAAUAACACUUCAAGUAACUGAUUCUACAAAUAAAUUCUAAGCUAAUACGCGAAAUUAGGUAAAAUGACAAAAACGCUCAUCGGGCCCACAUCUCGAAAUCGGGUAAAAUUUAUAUUUUUAGAAUCCUCACGCUCUCACGAGUUCAUCAUACAAAGAUUAUCCAAAUCCAAGGUCAAAUUCCCAAUCAAAAGUCAAAUUCAAGGUCUAAGAACUUUCUUCCAUGUUUUUCCCAAUUCUCAUCUCUAAUCCGAAAUUAAAUGAUAAAACUAACUAUAGAUUGAUGGAAUAAAACUAAAAAAGGUCAAGAAUUGUUACCUAAUGAUCUCUUCUUAAAUUUCCUCCCAAAAUCGCCCUCUCCCGAACUCCAAGUUGAAUUUCAAACUUUUGAAACUAAACCCUCGAAAUUUCAUAUUUUUGCCCAGCUAUUUCCGUAUAUGCGGUCAAAUAAUCGCAUCUGCGAUACCACUUUUGUGGUAGGGGAACCGCUUCUGCGGUUCUCACUUAAAAGCCCAAUCUCUCACCUGCGACCUCAAAUUCUGCAUUUGCGGUCACGCAAAUGCGGUUCUUUAUACCGCUUCUGCAGUUCCUGGCUCCCUUCCUUCUUUCUGCUUCUGCGACCUUUGAGCCAUUUUUGCGGUGCCAUACAUGCAGGGCCCAAACCGAAGGUGCGGUUAUGACAGAUAACAGCUGAAGAUGUAAGCUUCAAACUCCAAAAAUCUUUCCGUUAACUAUCUGAAAUCACCCUGAGGCCUCCGGACCUCAAACAAACAUGUCAACCAAUCCUAAAAUAUCAUUCAAACUUGUUCCAACCUUUGGAAGGCUUAAAACAACAUCAAAACACCUAUUUUUCAUUGGAUUCAAGCCUAAGAAUUCCAAAAACUCUAAAAAUACACUUUUGAUCAAAAAGUCUAUCAAACCUCAUCUGAAUGACCUAAAAUUUUGCACAAACAUCACAUUCAAUACUAUGGAGCUACUCCAACUUCCGGAAUUCCUUUAUGACCCUCAGUUCAAAAUCUCACUAUCGAAUCGGAAACUUCAAUAUUCGACCUUUCGAUAUUUCAAGCCCAAAUUAGCUAUGGACCUCCAAAACACAAUCCGAACACGAUCCUAAAUCAGAAAUCACCCAACGGAGCUAACAGAACCAUCGAAUUUCCAUUCCGAGGAUGUAAUCAUAUUGUUCCGACUACGAUCAACUUUCCAACACUUAAGCUCUCAUUUAGGGACUAAGUGUCCCAAAACUAUCCGAAACUCAAAAUCAAAUAUUCCGGCAAAUCAAAAUAGCAAAAAUAAACACGGGGAAAGCAGUUAAUAGGGGAUCGGGACGUUAAUUCUUAAGACGACCGGCCGGGUCGUCACAUCCCCCUACACUUAAACAUUCGUUCAUCAUCGAACGAGCAUAGAGACAUAACUGGAGUAGUGAAAAGAUGAAGGUAACGGCUGCGUAUAUCCUGCUAGGUCUCCCAAGUCGCCUCCUCGACCGGCUGACCCCGCCAUUAAACCUUUACCGAUGCAAUGUUCUUUGCCCUCAGCUUUCUAACCUACCUGUCCAAUAUUGCCAUUAGCUCCUCAGCAUAAGAUAGAUACUUGUCCAACUAGACCGAAUUAAAAUCCAACACGUGGGAUGGAUCACCGUGAUACCUCCGGACAAUCGAAACAUGGAAUACCGGAUGAACUCCGGCCAAGCUGGGAAGUAAGUCAAGCUCAUAAGUAACCUCCCCAACAUGCCUAAAUAUCUCAAAAGGGCCAAUAAAUCUCAAACUCAACUUUCCUUUCUUCCCGAAUCUCAUAACGCCUUCAUAGGCGAAACCCGAAGCAGAACCUGCUCUCCAAAUCACGAACCUUCCAGUUCGCAUAACUCUUCUGUCUGGACUAGGUUGUGCGGAAUCUAUCCUAAAUCACCUUAACCUUCUCCAAAGUAUCCUGAACUAGGUCUGUGACCAACAAUCUAGCCUCAACCAACUCAAACCAACCCACUGGGGAUCUACACUGUCUCCCAUAUAAAGCCUCAUACGGUGCCAUCUGAAUGCUAGACUAAUAGCUGUUAUUGUAAGCAAACUCCGCCAAUGGCAAGAACGGAUCCCAAGACCAUCCAAACUCAAUCACACACGCACAGAGCAUAUCCUCAAGAAUCUUAAUAGUGUGCUCGGACUGUCCGUCCCUCUGAGGGUGAAAUGUUGUACUCAAUUCCACACAAGUACCCAACUCAUGUUGAAUGACUCUCAAGAACCGUGAUGUGAACUGAGUACCUCUAUUUGAAAUGAUGGAAACCGGAAUACCAUGCAGAUGAACAUUCUCAUGGAAAUAGAUCUCCACCAACUGCUCCGAGGAAUAAGUAGUACACACAAGAAUAAAGUGAGUGGACUUGGUCAGCCGAUCCACAAUCACCCAAAUAGCAUCGAACUUUCUCAAGGUCCGUGGGAGCCCAACUACAAAGUCCAUGGUUAUCCGCUCCCACUUCCACUUUGGAAUCUCUAUCUGCUGAAGCAACCCACCCAGUCUCUAGUGCUCAUACUUCACCUGCUAAUAGUUAAGGCAUUAAGCUAUAAAUUCAACUAUAUCUUUCUUCAUCUGCCUCCACCAAUAGUGCUGCCUCAAAUCCUGAUACAUCUUCAUGGCACCCGGAUGAAUAGAAUACCGCGAGCUAUGGGCCUCCUCCAAAAUCAACUCCCAAAGCCCAUCAACAUUGGGUACACAAAUCUAGCCCUGCAUCCUCAAUACCCCAUCAUCACCAAUAGUCAAAUCUCUGGCAUCACCGUGCUGAACCUUAUCCUUGAGGACAAACAAAUGAGGGUCAUCAAACUGUCUCUCCUUGAUACGAUCAAAUAUGGAAGACCGAGAAACCACGCAAUCUAGAACCCGACUAGGCUCCGAAAUAUCCAAUCUCACAAACUGGCUGGCUAAGGCCUGAACAUCCAUCGCCAUAGGCCUCUCCGAUGCUGGUAAAUACACCAAACUCCCCAAACUCUCUGCCUGGCAACUCAAAGUAUCGGCCACCACAUUGACCUUGCCCGAGUGAUACAAAAUAGUGAUAUCAUAGUCCUUCAACAACUCUAACCACCUCCUAUGGUGCAAAUUUAGAUCCUUUUGCUUGAACAUGUGCUGUAAGCUCCGGUGGUCAGUAUAAAUCUCACAGGGAACCCCAUAUAAAUAAUGGCACCAAAUCUUUAGGGCGCGAACAAUGGUAGCUAAUUCAAGGUCAUGAACAGGGUAGUUCUUCUCAUGUAUCUUCAGCUGUCUGGAUGCGUAGGCAAUCACCCUACCACCCUGCAUCAACACCGCUCCGAGGCCAACCCACGAGGCAUCACAAUAGACCGUAUAAGACCCCGAACUUGUAGGCUGUAGUCAAAGAUAUCUUGAGCUUAUGGAAGCUUGCCUCACACUCCUCCGUCCAUUGAAACGGAGCACCCUUCUGGGUCAACCUAGUCAUAGGGGUUGCAAUCGAUGAAAACCCCUCCACAAAACGAUGGUAGUAACCUGCAAAGCCAAGGAAACUACAGAUCUCUGUAGCUGAGGAUGGUCUGGGGCCAACUCUGCACAGUCUCUAUCNNNNNNNNNNNNNNNNNNNNNNNNNACCAAAACUCACAUUUCGAGAACAUAGAAUAUAACUUCUUUUCCUUCAGAGUCUGAAGCACAGUCCUCAGGUGUUGCUCAUGAUCUUCCCGACUCUGGGAAUAUACCAGAAUAUCAUCAAUAAAGACAAUGAUGAAUGAGUCAAGAUACAGCCAGAACACACUGUGCAUCAAAUGCAUAAAGGUUGUUGGGGCAUUGGUCAGCCAAAAUGACAUAACAAGGAACUCGUAAUGACCUUACCGAGUUCUAAAAGUAGUCUUCUGGAUAUUUGGCUCCUAAAUCUUUAACUGAUGGUAACCUGAGCGCAAAUCAAUCUUAGAAAACACCCGUGCACCUUGAAGCUGGUCAAACAGAUCAUCAAUACGAGGCAAAGGAUAACGGUUCUUCAUUGUAACCUUGUUUCACUGCCGAUAAUCAAUACACAUACGUAUAGAACCAUCCUUUUUCUUCACAAACAAGACAGGAGCACCCCAAGUUGAUACACUGGGCCGAAUAAAACCCUUAUCAAGCAAUUCCUGUAACUAAUCUUUCAACUCCUUCAUCUCAGUAGGAGUCAUACGAUACGGAGAAAUAGAAAUGGGCUGAGUGCCCGGCAAUAAAUCAAUGCCAAAAUCAAUAUCUCUAUCAGGCGGCAUGCCUGGAAGAUCAGCUGGAAAUACAUCAGGAAAAUCCCGUACUACUAGGACUGAAUCAACUGAAGGGGUAUCAAUACUGACAUCUCUCACAUAAGCUAAAUACAUGUUACACCCCUUUUAAACCAUACGCUGAGCUUUAAGAAAAGAAAUAACUCUACUUGGAGUGUGAUCUAAAGUACCCCUCCACUCAACAAGCGGUAUACCUGGCAUAGCCAGGGUCACGGUUUUUGCGUGACAAUCAAGAAUAGCAUAAUGUGGCAACAACCAGUCUAUGACCAAGAUAAUGUCAAAAUCUACCAUGUUGAGCAACAAUAGAUCAGAUCUGGUCUCAAAACCAAUAAAAGCAACCAAACACGACCGAUAAACGCGAUCCACAAUAAGAGAAUCUUGUACAUGAGUAGAAACAUAAAUAGGGGAACUUAAAGAAUCCCGAGAUACACCCAAAUCCAGAGCAAAAUAAGAAGACACAAAAGAGUAAGUGGAUCCUGGAUCGAAUAGAACCGAUGCAUCUUUGUGACAAACCAGUAUAAUACCUAUGAUGAUAGAAUCGAAGGCAACAACCUCGGUACGGGUAGGAAGGGCAUAGUAUCGGGCCUGGCCUCCCCCUCUAAGGCAACCUCUACCUCCUCGACCUCCACCUCUAGCUGGCUGAGCAGGUGGGGUAGCAACUGUAGCUGUAACCAUAGCUUUAGAACUCUAUGGGGCACGGUGUGGCUGAGAUGUCUAUGAAGGUGCACCCCUCCCAAGUCUGGGGCAAUCCCUCACCAUAUAGCGUGUUUCACCACACUCAAAACAAGCUCUGGGAGGACGUGGUGGCUAUGACUGGCUCGGGCCAAGUCUAUUGGACUGACCUCUGAGAGCACCCUGCGUAGGAGGCGCGCUAGAUAUUGUUGGUGCAUAAUAAGGAUCCUGAGGCCUAGGAGGAGCUGGUAUACCACUGGCUGCUGGAAAAGCUGAAUGAACAAGGUGACUCAUAUAACCCCUACCAUGAUGACCUGCUGCUGGGACACGGGACCAGAGAAAUAGCCUGACUCUCGAGACCUCUUGGCCUCCCUCUCCUCUCUUUACCUAGCAUGCAUACCCUUAAUCCUCCUAGAAAUGCUCACCACCUGCUGAUAAGAAAUAUCCAUAUCCAACUCACGGGCCAUGCCAGACCUGAUGCUGGGAAUAAGGCCCUCAAUAAACCGACGAACCCUCUCACGAACAGUAGAAACCAAGGCUGGUGCAUGCCUAGCCAUACUAGUGUAACGGACAGCAUAGUCUGAGACAAUCAUAGCACCCUGGUGAAAAUUCUAAAACUCUGCGCGCCAUACGUCCUUGAGGCUCUGAGGAACAUACUCUCUCAGGAACAGAUCAAAAAACUGAGUCCAAGUCAGUGAAGCAGCCUCAUCCGGACUGUCUAACUCAUAGGUGCGCCAUCACUCAUAGGCAGCUCCUCGAAGCUGGAAAGUAGUGAAGGAAACCCCGCUCGAUCCUGAUAUACCCAUGAUACGGACGUCUCUAUACCGAUCAGCGAGACUCUAAUAAACCGACUUGUGAUCCAUGACUCCUAUGAACCAAGAGCUCUGAUACCAACUUGUCACGACCUCGAUUUUCCCUCAGUGAACCAUCGUGACGGAACCUAGUCCUUUACGACUAGGUAAGCCUAAAUUACAUAAGGUAACCAAAAUGCGGAAUAAAAACAAAUUAAAACAGAAUGAAGAGUGAUAUAAAUAGUGUUUAAAAGUGUCGCUCGACAUAUACAGUAUAAUAUUAUCAUAACCAAGUACAUUAUCCCAAAAACCCGGAAACUCACAGAACCACAAGCCUUUGGAUAUCUACAAUAUCUAACUCUAGAAUAUCUAACAAGGGAAAGAUAUACAUAAGGACAAAUGUUUAAAAUCUAGAAUAGAAAGGGACUUCUCAGUAUGCGAACGCAUCAUAUGCACCUCGAAAACUCUAGAGCAGUCACCUCGCCUCAUGAGUGAUAAGAUGGAGUCGCAUUACCUGGAUCUGCACAUGAAAAACAUGCGCUGAAGGGGCAUGAGUACACCACAACGGUACUCAGUAAAUGCCAAGCCUAACCUCGGUCGGGUAGUGACGAGGAAGGUCAGGGCCCUACUGAGGUUAAAAAAAUAUAAAGAUCAACAGUAUAGAACAGAACAGUACAAAUAAGUACAGCAGUAAAAUAACAAAGGAUGUACAGGACAGCAACAACUAUACCGAGGCAAGGUAAACACGGAAAGGAAAUACAGCUCAGCACCAAUAAUAACAAUCGGGGAUCUCCUAGGAUACCGUCUUGUAGUCCUAUAUGUAUAUAUCCAAUGGAUCUCCUGGGAUCUCGUCCCAUAGGUCAACUCAUAGUGCGUGAGGAUCUACCGAAAAUCCUGUUUUGUAGUCCCAAAUGUAAAUACUCAAUACUGCGGGAAUCUACCGGGUGCAUUCCCGUAGUUCCAUAAAAUUGUACAGGCGAUCUACAUGAAUCCCAGUCCCAAAAUAAAAACAUAGCAACACAGGAAAAUAUACAGAAAUGACAAAACUUUUCAUAUUAAGGCAACAAGUGAUUCUAGCCUAGCAUGCUACACAGAAUUUAGGUAAGGUAGGUUGAGCAAAUAAGGCAAUUAAGUCACUUAGACAUGCUUUCCUAAGCUAACAACAGGCUUAAUAGUGCAAGUAAUAUAGACAGGAAAGAAAAACAUGCUUGUAAUUAAUUAAAGAAAAUCGGAUUUCCAACAAUUAGCACAAGUACGCACUCGUCACCUCACGUAUAAGGCAUUUCAAUUACCAAAUAUACCAAUCCAAAGGGGAAGGUUCCCCACACAAGGUUAGACAAGCCACUUACCUCGAACCGGCUCAAAUAUCAAUCUGAAACCACGCUCUUGCCAUGAGUACUCGACUCCAAAUGGCCCAAAUCUAUUCAAUUCAAUAUCAUAAUAUAAAUAACACUUAAAGUAACUGAUUCUACAACUAAAUUCUUUGGUAAUACGCAAAAUUAGAUAAAAUUACCAAAAUGCCCCUCGGGCCCACUUCUCGGAAUCGAGUAAAAUUUAUAUUUUCAGAAUCCUCACACUCUCACGAGUUCAUGCAUACCAAAAUUAUCCAAAUCCAAGGUCAAAUUCUCAAUCAAAAGUCGAAUUCAUGGUUUAAGAACUUUCUUCUAAGUUUUCCACAAUUUUCAUCUCCAAUCCAAAAUUAAAUGAUAAAACUAACUAUAGAUUGAAGGAAUAAAACUAGAAGAGAUUAAAGAAUUUUUACCCAAUUAUCUCUUCUUUAUUUCCUCCCAAAAUCGCCCUCUUCCGAACUCCAAGUGAAAUUUCCAACUUUUGAAACUAAACCCUCGAAAUUUCAUAUUUCUGCCCAGCUAUUUCCGCAUCAGCAGUCAAAUAAUCGCAUCUGUGAUACCACUUCUGCGGUUGGGGAACUGCUUCUGCGGUUCGCACUUAAAAGACCAAUCUCGCACCUGCGACCUCAAAUUCCGCAUCUGCGGUCAUGCAGAUGCGGUUCCUUAUACCCUUUUUGCGGUUCCUGGACCCCUUUCUCAUUUCCGCUUCUGCAACCUCUGAGCCGUUUCUGCGGCGCUGCACCUGGGGGACCCAAACCGCAGGUGCAGUUAUGAUAGAUAACAACUGUAGCUCCAAACUUUAAACUCCAAAAAUCUUUCCGUUAACCAUCUGAAAUCAGCCCGAGGCCCCUGGGACCUCAACCAAACAUGCCAACCAAUCGUAAAACAUCAUUCAAACUUGUUCCAACCUUCAGACCGGUCAAAACAACAUCAAAACACCUAUUUUUCAUCGGAUUCAAGCCUAAGAAUUUCAGAAACUCUAAAAAUACGCUUUCGAUCAAAAAGUCUAUCAAACCUCGUCCGAAUGACCUGUUAUUUUGCACAUACGUCACAUUCAACACUACGGAGCUACUCCAACUUCCCGAAUUUCAUUCCGACCCCCAGAUCAAAAUCUCACUAUCAAACCGGAAACUUCAAAAUUGGACCUUUCGGUAUUUCAAGUCUAAAUUAGCUAUGGACCUCCAAAACACAAUCCGAACACGCUCCUAAACCCGAAAUCACCCAACGGAGCUAAUGGAACCAUCGGAUUUCUAUUUCGAGGCCGUUUUCACACUGUUCCGAAUAUGGUCAACUUUCCAAUACUUAAGCUCUCAUUUAGGGACUAAGUGUCCCAAAACUCUCUGAAACUCAAAACCGAACAUCCCAGCAAAUCAAAAUAGCAUAAAUAAACAUGGGGAAAGAAGUUAAUAGGGGAUCGGGGUGUUAAUUCAUAAGACGGUCGGCCGGGUCGUCACAAAUAAAGAUGAAAUGCAAUGUGUGGGGUCGCACAUGUGUGGGGUUGAGACCAUGUGAGCCACCCAUAGUGCAUAGCUAUCAUAAAUAACUCGGGUAACUAGAGCCUCAACCAAGUUUAGGUACGAUACUUAGCUAAAGCAAGCUAAAUCAAUACUGUGAGAAGCCUUUGCAUGAAUUAACCUCCGAAAGACUCCAAUCUAGCCAAAAUAACUUAAUAUCAUUAAUAAAAGUCAUAGGAAAUAAUUCCAAGCGAUAAAGUUAAGAUUUCAUAUCAAUUAUGCAAAGUCAACCCAAAAAGUCAACCCUGAGCCCGCAUCUGAAACUCGAUAAAACUCAUAAAUUCCAAACACACAUUCUGAUACGUGUCCAAAUAUAUGUGUAUCAUCCAAUUCCAACCUCAAAUGAACCCUCAAAUUAUCGCAUCUCACUCUAAAAAUCAUAGUCCAAAACCCCCCAAAUUCCACCUUUAAUUCAUAUAAUAUUGUUGUUAUAAUCUAUGAGAAAUCAAUAACUAAUACCAAAAUCGAGCAAAGAUCACUAACCCCUUCAAUUGUGAGGAAAAGCCCUCCAAAAAUGGCCUCCAAGCGAGCUCCACAACUCCAAAAAUGAGAAUAAGAUCAAACGCUCGAUAUUAAUAUUUUGUCUAGCAAAAUCGCAAUUACGGUCACUUAACUGCUUCUGUGGUGCCACUUCUGCAAAAAAACAGACUGCAUCUGCGAUCCCCUCCAAUCACCCAACCUUCCGCUUUUGCGACUCACCAAGCGCACAUGCGCUUCGGCUUCUGCGGCCUCUCAUGCUCACCUGCGCUUCCUAGUCUUCACUUGCAGACCCAUCUUUCCCUAGUCACUCGCCGCAUCUGCAAUCAACCAGCAACUUCUGCACCUUAGAACUCAGAAACUUCAGCAAUACAACAAAGUCCAAAAAUGAUCUGAAACUUAUCCAAAACAAACACGAGGACCCCGGGACCUUGUCCAAACACACCAACCAAUCCCAAAGCAUAACACGGACCUACUCGAGGCCAGAAAUCACACCAAACAACAUCAAAACUAUGAAUCGCUACUCAAUUAAAGCCUAAGGAAACUAAUGAACUUUUAACUUUCAAAACUCGUGUCGAACCAUAUUACAAAAACCCCGAAUGACCUCAAAUUUUGCAUACAAUCCCCAAAUGACAGAACAACCCUAUUCCAACUCCUAAAACCAGUAUCCGAACUUGAUAUGUACAAAGUUAACUCUCAUUCAAACCUAUCAACCAUUCAAACCUUUAACUUUCCCAUUUCACCAGUUAGAACAAAAUCAACCCAGGGACCACCAAAUUCUGACAUAUGGCUAAGUCCAAAAUCACCACACGAAGCUAUUGGAAUCGUCAUUUUACUAUUCCGAAGUCGUCUACACAAAAGCCAAACUUCGGUCAACUCUUACAACUUAAGCUUCCAACCUUGGGGCUAAGUGUCCCAAUUCACUCCAAAACUUCCCCGAAACUAAACCAACCACCCCGGCAAGUUCCAUAAUCAGAAAUACGCAUAUGUAUAGCAGUAAACGGUGGAACGGAUCUAAAAUACUUAACACGACCGAUGGGUCAUUACAUUCUCCCCUUUUAAAAAAAUGUUCGUUCUUGAACGAGUCUAGAAUCAUACCUAGAGUCUAAAAAAAGGGAGAACAUUUGUUCUAUAUCUCCCGAUUGGUCUCCCAAGUAGCCUCUUCGUCCGGCUGACCUCUCAAAUGAACCUUCACUGAUGAUAUUCCUCGACCUCAACAUUCGAACCUGUCGAUCAAAAAUGGCCGUCGGCUCCACAUUAUAAGUCAAAUACCCAUCUAACUGCACCAUGCUGAAGUCCAAAACAUAUGAACGAUCCCCAUAAUACUUUCAGAGCAUAGAAACAUGAAACAAAGGGUGAACUCCCGAUAGACUAGGUAGUUAGGUGUCACGGCCCCAAAACCGAUCUGGUCAUGAUGGUGCCUAUGAUGAAAGUAGGCCAACCUAUACAAUCCUAAAUCAAACUAAUAUUCAAAAAUAAGGACGUUUUGAGCUAUUAAUUGAAUAAAAUCCCAUAAUAUGAGUCUAAAUAACAAGUGCGAAAAGAAAACAUAAGCCUGACAUCGGAGUGUCACAAGUCACGGGCAUCUACUAAGUACUGUCUGAAUAUAACGAAGACUAUCACAAUCUGGAAAAUACUAAAACAGUCUAAGGAAGAUAAAAGGGAGAAGAGCAAGGCUGCGAACGCCAUGCAUCUACUUUUCUGACUCCAAAUGACUCGUUGGAUGAAAGAUCAGCGCUCGCUAUCGCGAUCCGCAACUCCUGGAUCUGCACACAAGAUGCAGAAUGUAAUGCGAGUACGCCAACUCAGUAAGUAAUAAAAGAAAAUAAAGACUAAGAAGUAAGAAAAUAUAUAUACCACGUCAUAACACCACAGUAAGUACAUUAUAUUUCCAAAAUAGUAUAUAAUUCAAAUCAUCUUGUUAAAAUCCAAUUUCAGUACAAAUCAUUUGAAAAGUGUCUUUCUAACAGUUUCAACAGAGAUUCAAUGAAGUUUAGAGUAAAAAUGAUGAAAAUCAUAAAUAGCCCUCGGGCAAGACGUGUAUCAUAAACCACCCCUCGGGUAUAACAUCAAUUAGAACCAGCCCCUCGGGCAUAUGUAUCAAGAACAGCAUGUCGGGCAACAUCAUAUCACUCACUCAGGGUAAUCGGGCUCACUGAGGGUGUUCAUACUCCAGAGGGGAUCCUACAGGCCAAGCGCUAUAACAAGCCAUCUUGUGGCAUAAUAUAUCAGGCCCUCGGCCUCUCAUAUAUCACAAAUCGGUACAACAUAUUGUGGCGCAUAGCCCAAUCCCAUGAUAUCCUUACAACACAGGCCCUCGGCCUCACUCAGUCAUAAACUUCUCAAGCCACUUAGGCUAAUAGUAAAAUAUGGUUCCCAACCCAAAAUAUCAUUUAUAGUAUCAAAACAGAAUAAAUAAGGCUGAGUUAUGAAAUCAGUAAAACAUAGCAUGACUGAGUACAGAUAUUAAAUCAAAACAGUGAGGAAUAGUAGUAAAAAGGCCCUAAGGGUCCAAACAGCUUGGCACGAGGCCCAAAUAUGGCAUUCAGCCCAAAACAUAGUAAUACUUUCCAAAGCACUAUAGUAUAAAAUAGUUUUCAGUCAAAUAUGUGACUUAAUAGUCAUAUGGUACGGACCAAUUCACAAUCGCCGAUGAUGCACACCCCCACGCUCAUCAUCUAGCAUGCGUGUUAUCUUAAAGUAGUGAAACGAUGUGAAAUCCGGGGUUACUUACCUCAAACCGGAAAAAACUCUAACUUGUGAUGCCCUUACCUCUCUACUCGGCCUCCAAAUGCUCUGAAUAUAACCAAAAUCAGUAUCACAUCAUUAAUACAUGCUAAAGAAACAAAACCAUACGAAAAUUAUCUAAUUAACUCAAAAAUUACGAAAUUGGCCAAACCCGACCCCUGGGCCCACGUCUCGGAAUCCAACAAAAAUCAUAACCAGAAUCCUUAUCCUUUCACGAGUCCAUACACACCAUAUUUACCAAAAUCUAACAUCAUUUGACCCCUCAAUUGCCCAAUUUUUACUCUCAAGUUCCAAGCCAUAAUUCCCCAAUUUUCACCCUUAGAACCCAUAAAUUUCAUGCUUAAUCAACUGAAAAUACCAUAGAAUCGAGUUGUAGGUUCAAAAAUAUUACCACAAUGAGUUUCCGCUUGAAUCCCUCUUCAAAACUCUCCAAAAUCUCCAAAAACCGAGUUGAAAUUGUGAAGAAUGCAUAAAAUUCGUGAAGGGUCCUCUAUAUACUUUCUGUCGCAGGUAUCUCGCACCUGCGACCAAUAAUCCGCAUGUGCGAACCACUUCAGCAGUCAAAAUAACCGCAUCUAUGGUUUUCACUUAAAUCUCCAGGACCACAUUUGUGUCCAGACACCGCACUUGCGGUCCCGCAGAUGCGCCCAACACACCACACCAGCAAUUCUUCUCCUAAUGGCCAAAUUCCGCAUCUAUGGUCUCCAUACCGCAUCUCCGACCUCGCACAUAUAGUCCCCAAUCUGUAGGUGCGGAUAUGACAGAAGCAGCAGCUUCAGAUUCUCAAACAAAAUCCCAAUCCUUCCGUUAACCAUCCGAAUUCAUCCCGAGGCCCUCGGUGUUACAUCUCACGUUUACGUACGCAAAAAGUUUCGUCUUCAGUUAAUUGAUGCAGACUCGGGGGUGAGAUUAUCUUGAGGUUAACGUAUUUACACUAAUUAUAACAAACGAUAAAUAAGUGUCAUGAAGGAUAAUGCGGUACACAGAUUAAAGAAAACGAGUUUUGUUGAAAGUGGACAAUUUGGAAUAAAAUACGGGUCAAGCGAUAAUACCCGAUAAUUAUGAAUUAGUACUAUGCAAGGUACCAUAUGACCACGGUAGUAUAAUAUAUAAAGUAUAUAUGAAGUAUUUAAAAAUAAAAAGAAUUUUGAAUAAUUUGUGGUAAUUUUUAAAUUAUGCGGGUAAUUGGUUAAUUACCGGGUAACAGGACAUUACCUAGUUAACUAAUAAGUGGGUAAAGAUUACUAGUCUUCACCCACUCUCCACGUGGAACAAGGCCACCAAAUUACAAGAUGACUCAUAACAAAUUAUACAUAGGUGUCUACACCUAAGGAGUAAAUAAAGUAACUUUAUCAAAAUAAGACUUCUAAGUCUUAUCUCCUUGUUAUCUGACGUUGGUGGAAUUCAUUUUACAAGAUGAAAUUUCUAAAACUAAAAUGCAUAUCCAGAAAGUAACGUUACCCACUUCCAAAAGAGUACAAGAAAGAUUCCUUCCUUAAGAUUGGAAUUCAGAAACUAAUUUGUAUAAAGAAAACGUAGAAGACAGAAGCCUUCUUUAGCAAAAUUUCAUCCAAUUUCAAUUCUUCAACUAGAGGAAGCCUAUUUCGUUCAUUAGGUUUAAAAGAGCAGAAGCAGUUUUGUCCGAAAUUUCAACGAAGCUUCUCCAACUGAAUAUUAUACAGAGUUUUUCCUACUCCAGGUAUGUUAAGGUCCUCCAUUCUUUCUUUUGGCAUGGUCUAAAUUAUUUAGAAGAAACGAGCAAACGCGCGGUUUCCAUAAAUUACUCUAUUCAUAGAAAUAUUAGGGGUAUCUAUAUUCUUUAUUCCCUAUGUGAAUUAUUAUUAUUACUUUCUGUUCAAGGGUCCAGAAAAAUACGUAUUUGAUAAUGUUUAUCCGAAAGGCAUAUUGAUUUUUAUGGCGUUCCAAGAAAAUUUUAUUGACGCAUUUCUUAUGCAUUUCAUACAUUUAUACAUGUAUAUUGACCCAUGACCAUGUAUAUUAUAUUUAUAUGGGAUACGAGAAAAAGGUUACGACGUUAUAUAUACACCACCACCUGAUCAGCUGGUAUAUGGGGAUGAUGUUGCUCAUAGUGGCUGAAAUAUGACUCAGGCAGCGUUAUAUAUGUGUAUAUAUGUAUGUAUAUGUAUAUGGGAUAUGAGAAGAGGUUAUGGCAUUAUAUACGCAACACCACCUGAUCAGCUGGUAUAUGUUGAUGAUGUUGCCUGCAGUUACCGAGAUGAUAUGAUGGGUUGCGCUCAGUGGCUUGAUGAUAUUAUGUACACCCAUACCUAUGCAUGGCACGCCAUUUAUACGCACGUGCAUGACAUUAUAAACGUUUCAACAAAGUUAUUCAUAUUUAAAGAUGUGUUUCCUUAUUCCAUGUUUCAUCUAUGUCAUUUACGUACUAAUUUUCAUGCCUGACACACUCAGUACAUUUUUCGUACUGACACCCUAUUUCACGGGGCAUGUGUUUCAUGCCCGCAGGUGUAGGUAGGCAAGUUGACGGUCCCCCUUCUUAGGAUCCCGGAUCAGCGAGAGUUGGCGUGCUCCAUUUGAUCCGGAGCUACUUUUGAUUUUGGUACGAUACGUUUGUAUAUAUAUAUAUAUAUGUAUGUAUGUCUAUGGGUAUGAUGUGGCUCAGUCCCGUCUUUGUACAAUUAUGUUUCUAUUAGAGGUUUGUGGAUAGUAUGUCUAGUUGGAUAGCAUGUGGCCUUGCCGGCUUCCAGUUUUGAGAUGUAUAGUUGUCUAUAGCAGCCUUGUCGGCUCGCCCUACGUAUGUUGUACGUAUAUGUAUGUAUGCUUUUUUGGGUAGAUUUCCUUCAUGUACAUUAUUCUCGUAAUUCGGCAGAUAUUAUUCAGGUUUAUAUCUUAAAUGCAUGCUUAGGGGUGUUUGACAGGUAGGACUCGAGCACCCGUCGUGGCUCAUUGGUUUGGGUCGUGACAAAAGUGAUAUCAGAGCAGUUCUAUCCUAGGGUUGUCUACAGACCAUGUCUAGUAGAGACUUGUUUAUGGGUGUGUUUUGCACCACACUUAUAGACAGGAGGCUAGGGACAUAUAAGAUGUUAUUCUCUCUUUUUAUCUUAAAUCGUGUGAUAUAAGGAUUCAUGUUCCUGACGAUGUGUUACGUUUUUAGCGAUGCCUCCAAACACUACAACCUCUAGCACGGGUCAGAAGGCUGCGAAGGUGUUGGAAAGAGAUAUAAGUUAUACUAUGGAUUCAGACCCAUCGGAGAUCAUGGGUUCUAUUGAGGAGGACCCAUCCGAGGAUCUAUAUGAGUCAUCUGUUCGAGCUGUUUCGACCACUCCGGCAGUAGAUAGGGUAAAAGGAGUUCCGACCUCACCAAGGCCCUUAGUUUUAUAGCCCGUUGAUCAGGGUAUGAGGGGAGCAGUGCAUAAAUUGGCGCAACCGAGAUUCCCUCAGGCUCAAAACUAUGUUAAGGUAUUUGAGGACACCAGCUCUUCUGAGAUUCCGGAUAGUCCACAGUCUUGGGAGUCAAAGUCCGUCAAUCAAGGUUCGUCGGUAUAUGUUAUGGGAUACGCAGAGGAAGAAGAUAGUAGUUGGUCCAAGAGGAGGAAGGUAACUGAUAAGGACACGAAGAUUCUGCUUCGAAGUGUGUCCGAUUGAGGUUCUUAUAUAUGACGAGGCAAGGACCCUCUGCUGUAGACUUCCUCCUAGUGUUAGUUUUUGGUUGGUGAGUUCUACCUCUUCUUGGAAUAUUACAAAGUCAAGGCUCUAAAUGUGUUUAGUUGUUUUAUGAGGAUGUAGGGAGCCCCGUCCCGACUUGUAACAAUAUCCUGUAUAUAGUUUUGGGUAUGAUAUGUCUACGGCCUGGUCGACCCCUAUGUACAUAAACCUUUUUUCUAAAUUAGUUGUUCAUGUUAUGUUUUAAUAUUGUUACUUAUAUAUAAGGAUGUGACCCGAAAUGGCCCAUGAUAGAUUUGAUAAUAAAUAAGGAAAAGAUAUGUGGUGUUCGGUUGGGUAGGACUUGAUAUUAUAAUAGGUGUGGAUUCAUUGACCUUUUGUCAUGUUAACAUCAAGUGUAGAUCAAAAAUGGUUUGAUUUCAGCUUCCAUGAGAGCCUGUUUUAGAAUGGAAAGGUAAUACCACAUCGCCAAGAGGUAAAUUUAUCUCCUAUCUCAAGGCAAUGAAGAUGAUCAUAAAGAAAUAUAUUUAUCACUUAGUUCGGGUUAGGGAUGUGGAAUUGGAAUUACCAACCAUUCAGUCCUUUCCUGCAGAUAAUAAGUUUCCCAAUGUUUUUCCCGAUAAGCUUCUGGGUCUUCUGCCAGAGUGAGAAAUUGAGUUUGUCAUUGACCCACCACCAGAUAUUCAUCCAAUAUAUAUAUAUAUCCCCCUAUAGAAUGGCCCCUGCAGGGCUGUGAGAAUUUAAGAAACAACUAAGGGACUUACUUGAAAAAGGUUUUAUCAAAUCUAGUACGUCACCAUGGGGAGCACCUAUUUUGGUAAUAAGGAAGAAAGAUGGUUCCUUACGAAUGUGUAUUGAUAAUAGGUAGCUAAAUAAGGUGAUGAUCAAGAAUAAGUACCUGCUCCCGAGAAUUGAUGAUUUAUUUGAUCAGUUGCAAGGUGCCAAGUGUUUUUCAAAGAUAGACUUGAGGUCCGGAUACCAUCAGGUAAGGGUAAAAGAUGAAGAUAUUCCGAAGACAGCAUUCAUGACUAGAUAUGGCCACUUUGAGUUUCGGCUUAUGUCGUUCGUUCUGACCAAUGUCCCAGCAGUAUUCAUGGAUUUGAUGAACCGUGUGUUCAGGCUUUUUUUUCAAGAUCUGUUCGUAAUUGUAUUUAUUGGCGAUAUAUUGGUAUAUUCUCAUUCAGAGAUUGAACAUGCAAAUCAUCUGCGUACUGUGCUCAGAGUUCUACAAGAAGGGAAGUUGUAUGCAAAAUUUUCUAAUUAUGAAUUCUGGUUGAACUAUGUAGCUUUCCUUGGGCAUAUUAUUUUGGGUAAAGUCAUCUGAGUAGAUACACAAGAUACUGAGGAAGUAAAGACUUUUCCUA